RNAcentral lists this long non-coding RNA (58728 nucleotides) under Triticum aestivum (bread wheat). RNAcentral's name for it is "long non-coding RNA (TAES_LNC024672)". Lineage: Eukaryota; Viridiplantae; Streptophyta; Magnoliopsida; Poales; Poaceae. The record is from RNAcentral.
GAGAGGUAUCUCUCGGCCCACUCGGUAAUGCAUCAUCAUAAUGAGCUCAAUGUGAUUAAGUAGUUAGUCACGGGAUCAUGCAUUACGGAACGAGUAAAGUGACUUGCCGGUAACGAGAUUGAACGAGGUAUUGGGAUACCGACGAUCGAAUCUCGGGCAAGUAACGUACCGAUUGACAAAGGGAAUUGUAUACGGGAUUGAUUGAAUCCUUGACAUCGUGGUUCAUCCGAUGAGAUUAUCAUGGAGCAUGUGGGAGCUAACAUGGGUAUCCAGAUCCCGCUGUUGGUUAUUGACCGGAGAGUUGUCUCGGUCAUGUCUACGUGUCUCCCGAACCCGUAGGGUCUACACACUUAAGGUUCGGUGACGCUAGAGUUGUAGAGAUAUUAGUAUGCGGUUAACCGAAAAUUGUUCGGAGUCCCAGAUGAGAUCCCGGACAUCACGAGGAGUUCCGAAAUGGUCCGGAGGUAAAGAUUUAUAUAUAGGAAGUCCAGUUUCGGCCACCGGGAGAGUUUCGGGGGUUACCGGUAUUGUACCGGGACCACCGGAAGGGUUCCGGGGGUCCACCGGGUGGGGCCACCUAUCCCGGAGGGCCCCAUGGGUUGAAGUGGCAUGGGAACCAGCCCCUAGUGGGCUGGUGCGCCCCACCCAAGGGCCCAAGGCGCCUAGGGUUGGAAACCCUAGGGGGCCGUUGCCCCCCCUGAGGGGGCAUGCGCUCCCUGGUUGGAAACCCUAAGGGGGCCUUUGCCCCCCGAGGGGCCGUCGCCCCAGGGGCCGCCGCCCCCUUCUAGAUGGGAUCAGCAAGGGGGCAUGCGCCACCCCUAGCCCCUAUAUAUAGUGGAGGGGAGGGAGGGCAGUCGCACCUUUUUUUAAGCCCUGGCGCCUCCCUCUCCCUCCCGUGACACCUCUUCCUCCUCUAGUAGCGCUUGGCGAAGCCCUGCUGGAAUCCCGCUGCUUCCACCACCGCGCCGUCGUGCUGCUGGAUCUCCAUCAACUUCUCCUUCCCCCCUUGCUGGAUCAAGAAGGAGGAGACGUCUCCGCUCCGUACGUGUGUUGAACGCGGAGGUGCCGUCCGUUCGGCGCUAGGAUCAUCGGUGAUUUGGAUCACGACGAGUACGACUCCAUCAACCCCGUUCUCUUGAACACUUCCGCUCACGAUCUUCAACGGUAUGAAGAUGCACUCUCCUCUCUCUCGUUGCUAGUUAAUCCAUAGAUUGAUCUUGGUGAUGCGUAGAAAUUUUUUAAUUUCUGCUACGAUCCCCAGCAGUCGGGGCCCGGCGAUCGUUUAGAUUAGGUUUACAGUAGGUUUUAGUAUGGUUUGUGUGAAAUAUGUAAUGAAUUUCGUCCAGUUUAUAGGAAAAGUUCUCGAAAUGUAAUGAAUUUGAUCCGGUCAAUUUGAAAUUUGCUUUGUUUGCACGAAUUUCGUCCGGUUAGUUCAUAUAGUUGUCGAAAGGUAUGCAGGCAGUAUUGGAUGGUAUCCACCAGUGUCCUCGGACAGAUGCCGGUGUAAAUUUGAGGGCCAGCGCUGGAGAUGCCCUAACUAUCAUGCUAUAAUCCCUAAGAGUGCUCCAUUAUUUCGCAGGGAACAGUUAUCCCUCGAUCAAAAUCAGAUCCGCCGUGUUUCGCACUCCUCCCAUGUAAGAGUGUAGACUCUUGCUUACAUAAAAAUGGAGCAAGUGGACGGCACUGUAGCACGUCAUAUCACUCAAACUAGCCCGCCUAACGCGCGGGAAAGCACCGCCCUCGUCAUUUUGUUCUGGAUUUCUAUCAAUCGAUCGCACGAAAAUGUUACGCUUUGCAAGUUCAAAAGGAAAAGGUGGCACACUUACAACUCGUACGCGUCGCGGUCACGCCGCACCCCCGAAAGUCCGGCUCACACGCCGCUCACCAGAGGGGACACGCGUUGUCUUGCAUUUUCACUGACAUGUGGGACUGCAAUUGAAUAAACCGUCGAUAGCCGAAAUCUAAUCGCUCGGCGGGCGUCGGCUGAGAGGAGAGAUACGGGGGAGGGAGAAGAGAUCGCCCGCCCGCCGUGCACGGACUCCAAGAAAUAUGUGGUGAUAAUGUGAGGUGGGCCAUGCGGGAGUCCGCACCGCUUCCAAGCCCGCUUCUUACUGCCCUGGCCCACCAGAACCCCUCCCCCACCCCACCACCUCCCCGCGCGCGCUCCCCCCUCAGAGGCCAGGUGCCCGCAUUCAUAGCAAGUACUACCAGUAAAAUUCUGGGCUAUAAAGGGCAUGUACAAUGGUUGAUAAGAUAGUCUUAUCAUAAGUCUUGCAUGUAAUUUAGAGAUGACAAAAAAACACGUGUACAAUGGAUCAUCUCUUAGCCUUAUCUUCAAUAACUAGUUAUUCCUAAAACAUGGUGAAACAUAUUGUGCUAAGAGAUCAUCUCUUGUCUUCUCGACAAGCCCGCUUAUGUGGAGGAGAGAUAGGCAUGGACAAAGUCAAAAGGAGUGGGAUCUGCAGGAGCUCGUCUCUACACGUGCUCCUAGGUAUAAAAAACUAAUUCUAAAAAAGAGGCAUAAAAAACAAUUGUGUCUAAAAAAAGAAAGGUAAAUAACGUUUGAGAGGAAAUAGAUAGAGAGGAAGUGAGAAAAAGUUGUAACCUUAUAGUAAACACUAUGGUAGUAUUACAUGAGGAAGGAGGGAGUGGUGCACAUGCCAAGUUCACUGGGCUGCCGUGUUUCACACUCCUCCGUCGUAACAGUGGAGACAAUAGGUUUCAUCAAAAAUAAACAAUGAAUACUCGUUGCUCGUCCACUAUAUCAGAAAGAAUACUUUCAUUCGCCGACAUGUGGGACGUCGACCAUCCUGGUCCACUUGCCAUGCACAAAAUUAUCCCGGUCCACCCCGGUCGUAGCGUAGGCUCAACCUUUCCCACUAUAAGUUAGUCAGACGAAGGAACCAUCAUGACUUUGUUGAAUUCCUCUUCUUCAAGAAAACUUACUCUAGCCGCAGUACUGCUACCACACGCGAAGAGUGGAUGGCACUGUACCACGUCAUAUCACUAAAACCCACUAGGCCAAACUAGCCCGCCUAGGAUUUGUACUCCCUCCGUUCAAAGUUAGUAGUACAAAGUUGACUCAUCUAUUUUGAAACAGAGGGACGUCUCUGUACUGCUAUGAUUUUGUGUUGUACGUCUCUGUACUUUCGCUACGAUUUUCCUAACCUAUGAACCAAAUGAGGCCUGAAUGUAUCCGUGUCGACUAUUGUCUGAUCGAUCGCUAAGCCUACAAUUUUAGGAGCUUGGGCUAUUGGCCGAUCGACGACGGAUCAGUAUAAGCGUACCAGGAGCUCAUCAACCCCAACAUUUCUCUUCGGUGAGUGUUUUGCAAGUACUAUAGCUCGCACAGUAGCUAGCCUACUAACACCAAGAAUCAUCAAAUAAGCCUUACUGAUAUGAUAAACAGUUCAAACUUACAUCUAAGCAUGCCAUAUAUUACAUCAAAAGCUGGUGAGGAUACAUCUGUUUCCAUAACUUGGAGAGGGUUCGCAUGAUUCACUAUCAAACAGAAGUAGCAAGUACCGCCCACACAAGACAGUGCAUUAGCCCUAAGAUGGUUUGAUAACAUGCAUCGUUCUGGUAAUUAAACACAGGGCAAUGCAAACUACCCCGAAGGAUUAGCGCGACCAACUAUUUCUUGUCAUCGAUCUCUCGGCCAAUGACCACAACACGGACAACGGCAUGGGAAUCGAUCUCUGGGGCGAUGUCCACAGGACUGACCGCGACAUCAGAAUCGAUCUCUAGGGCGAUGUCCACAGGAUGGACAGCGGCAUCGGAAUCGAUCUCCGGGGCGAUGCCAACAGGACGGACCGCGAUAUCGAAAAUGAUCUCUGGGGCAUUGUCCAUAGGACGGGCCGCGACAUCGGAAUCAUCAAGGACGUCCACCGGCACCUGCACAACCCUAACAUAUUAGCAAGCACAUUGCAAAUAAUUAAAAACCACAACUUUCGGUAAUAAGCCAUUAUUUUUUACCUUGUGCAGCUCAUCGGGGGAUCCGAUCCCUCCGGGGGCCAUCUCCUCGUCCUCGAUGGGGGCCAUCACCUUGCCAGGGGAAUACUGCUUCUCAACGGCGACUAUCUCCUCAAACUCGGUCUUGAGCCGCGCAAAGGUGGCCAUCAGAGUUUCUGGGGUAGGCACGGUGGAGCCCUUGCUGUUCUUCCAACUUUCUUUGAGGAGUUCGUCCGCCAACGUCGUCAACUCUUCGGCCAGUGCUUGUUUCUUGGAGUUCUUCGUCUCCAUGGGUUGGCCCGCCAACAUGGUCAACUCGUUGGUCGGUGCUCGCUUCCUGGAGAUCGCUGUCUCCAGUGGGUUGUCCGCCGGCAACUCUUUGCCUAGUGCUCCAGGAUCCAUCAAUGAACUAACAAACAAAAAGCAAUCGAAAGGAAACCACAAUCGCAAUGAAAACGGGAAAAGAAUAGGCUGUGAGAAUCGGUCGGUGCUUCGCAAAAACAAGAUUCUUGGAAUGAAAAUAUAGCAGCAUCACUGAUUCGCCCACCUUUCCUUCGUCGGUACAGAAUAAAAAUGGCAGAAGUGAGUAGCCUGGAGUGAGGUUUUCUUCAAGAAACGGGAGAAAGGGCUUCAACGAGCGUUCCAGUGAAAUGAUGGUUGCUUUGUCCAGUCCAACUUCGAGGCCACUUUACCACUGCUGGUAAAGGUGUGGGUUUUGUGAUCUGACGGGUCAUGACGGCCACACCGGGGUGACCGGUGAGUUUCGACUGUAGCACCUCGCUGUGAUUUGGUGGAUGGCACGCGGGCCCGGCUGCUUUGUUGUCCCGCAUGUAGAUAGAGCAGCUAGUCAUAUAGGAGUGGUCAAUAUUGUGCACCGCGACCAAGGCAGAGAGGAAAACGAGAGAACUACGUAAUUAAUGCAUGAGUUUAAUUAGGGUAGUUUUGUAAAGUACGAGAUACAUUCCUCCAAUCGCAAAAUGCCUUGGUUGAUGAGAUUUGAGAUUUGAGCCCUAUAAACCGGAAGGGAGAUUUGAGAUUUGAGAUACUGCACGCGGUGUAGUCUAGUCACUUGUUGGAAUCUCUAGAAAGACUUAUACUGCAUGAUUCUUUGCUUCUUCGUACUACUACGUACUACUUCGCCGACAUGUGGGACAGCCAGCAGCAGCCGGGUCGAUGUAAUACGUGUCAUGUACCAGAUUAGAGUGCGGAACGGAAGGGGGGCAUCACCCCGGUCGAUGGCCGUUUCACGCGGAGCAGUCGGUGCACCGGGAAGCGGCGCUCUCUCGGCCGUCGCGCCGCUUCAAAGCUGGCGCCAGUGAGAGGUCGCCUCCGCUCUGGUCGGGCACUAAUGCAGCACUGACACCCCAGGGCGACGCUGACCGUUUCACGCGGGAAGCGCGCGCUGGCAAGGGAGUAUAGGUUUUGAACCGUUUCAUGUGUAGUACUGGUAGUUUGCAUAACUACUCAAUUAUUGCACUCAGUUUCCUAAGAAAUUAUGGUAAAAAACGUUACUCCACAGCCCGCUUCCCUUCUCCUUCCUCUUCCACCGCCCGCGCACGCCCGCGGGAAGCGACCGGUCAACCCUUAUAUAGGAGUGCUAGCACAAAAAGAUGCAUGCAUGACCACUAAAAUUUCCAGAUUAAACAGCCGCUCCGGCGGGAGUAUGGCGUAUGUUGUUACCUUCGGCUGGGCCAUGGCUACCGGGCGACGGCGACCAGAGAAGAGGCGGUGGGAGGGGAAUGAAUGCAGCUACUGUUUGGGUUCGCCGUCCGGCUUAAAUAAAUGCGCAGCAUCACGUGUACCCGCGGGUGCACAAAUUGUAACAUACGUGUCUGCUUAGUGGGCGUCACGUAACUGGUGUGUGUGUGUGUGUGUGUGUGUGUGAGAUUCUGAGAGACAGAGUGCGUGUGUGCGACUCUACUCUUCGGACAUGUACUCAACCUUUUGCAUCGGGAUAUAAGUAUAAUUGUAUUUACUUUAGCUAGUGAUUUAAGUGGCCAUGUUAACAUGGUUGUGUAAAAAAAUGUCACUUCCUGCUCAUGAUUUGCGUUAUAUAAUUACAAGCAAGAUGCGCGUGCAUUGCACGGAACAUCAAUAUGCAUUUUUUUACAAAACACAUGUUGUGAUUUACCCAUGCAGGAGUAAUCCCAUGUGUAAAAACUAAUGAUAUUUUGAGAAUUUUAUCGGAAAACUGGUAUCUCGAGAAUGUCAUCGAAAAAUGAAAGAUGAGAGAUAAGGCGAGGAGGAGUGGAGCGUGGUGGUGACUGGUGGUCGGAAUGGGCGGAGGCAUGGGGAUGGACGGCGCCGGCAGGCGGCAGCGGCCACCAUGCUUGAUUGUUCCGGAGACUUUCUUUUCUAAUUGCUCAGCAAUGAGGUGUGGGAGAUAAGGAUGUGGAGAGAGGUGCAGCUAUCUCUUGUAAAAUUAUCAUAGUUUGCUUUUUAUCCGUCAGAUAUAGAUCAGACGGUCUAUAUUACAAGAUGGCAGGCACACCAUCAUCGCCAACUCGGUUUUUUAUAAGGGUACAAAUGAUAAGUUUGCUAACUACUAAAGUAAAGUGGAAUUUUUCCAUGUUAUACAAGUAAAUUAAGGUGAUUGUUUAUCAUACGGGUAAGGGUGGAUGAAGGGUGGUAGGAACAAAUGCUCUGCCUAGAGCNNNNNNNNNNNNNNNNNNNNNNNNNNNNNNNNNNNNNNNNNNNNNNNNNNNNNNNNNNNNNNNNNNNNNNNNNNNNNNNNNNNNNNNNNNNNNNNNNNNNNNNNNNNNNNNNNNNNNNNNNNNNNNNNNNNNNNNNNNNNNNNNNNNNNNNNNNNNNNNNNNNNNNNNNNNNNNNNNNNNNNNNNNNNNNNNNNNNNNNNNNNNNNNNNNNNNNNNNNNNNNNNNNNNNNNNNNNNNNNNNNNNNNNNNNNNNNNNNNNNNNNNNNNNNNNNNNNNNNNNGUGUGUGUGCGUGUGUGUGUGAUGGAGUCUUACUGUGUGUGUGUGUGUGUGCAUGUGUGUGGGUGGGUGCGUGUGUGUGUGUGUGUGUGUUUGUUUGUGUGUGUGUGUGUCGCGGGGUCUUCGGUGGCAGAUGUAAUUUAAGUGUGCAUGGCUUCCACAUAGAGAGGUGAUGUGUAUGGCAGAGGCCACCAACGAUGGGGUGCGAGAGAGAAAAUGCACGUAGAGAGGGAAGAGAAGGUGUGUGCGCGUGAGAGUAGUCGACAUCGAGAGAACGUGUUUGUUCUAGAGACACCAAGGAAGACUACUAUAUAUCGAUGGUGCAUGUAGGCGGGAACGAAGGGAUGGUCUUAUUGGUUUCGGGGAUAUAGGGGAAGAGUGAGAGGGGGGUAGCUACAAGGAGAUUGUUAAGUGUGAGUGUGUGUUUUACCCAUCCAGGCGGAAGUUAUGUGCACACAAGAAGAGAAUGAUUCGAUGUGGCGUUAGGGUGGAGGGUAAUUAACUAUGUAUGGAGACAUAGAGACCUUCAACGUGCAUGUGUGAGAGGUAUACAUGUAUACGUGGGAUGUGUGUGUGUGCGCGCGCAUGAUCGAGAUAAAAGAAAGAAGACAUAAGUCAUAAGCUAAGAUCAACGACAUGGGAGAGACGGAUCGGUAUGAUAAUAUGGAUGCAUGCGAGAAUGCAGGGAAGAGGGCCCGACAAUUGAGCAUGUGUUUUUGUCUUUAAGAGAUAGUGGCGUGGGCUGGAGCAUGCAUCUAUGGUGAGCAGAGGGAGUGAGGCACAACGAUUGUGGAAAAGAGAUCAACCUAUAAAUGAAAGAAGGUUGAUGGAGAAACAGAUAAAUAGAAAGAUAAAGAUGCUAGCUAGUGUGCGUUAGAGAUAGGAGUCGAGUGGAUCAGAAGGCUGAGUUAUGGGUGUGGGUGUGAGAGAGAUGAAGAAAGGGUGCAUGUGACUCACAUACAAACAAAUAUCAGAGAGAAAUGAGAUCCCGAGAGAUGGAGUUUUGUGUCUGCGAGAGAGAAAGAUAUUUCAAAACGAGAGUGAUAUCUAGAGAAACAUAUGAGGGAACGCAAGAUAUCUCUAGGGAGAGACAGUGUGUGUGUGAGCGACAUGCAAGAGAACAGUGGAGAAAUAUGAGACCCUGGGAGACAGAGUUUGUGUUUGUGUGUGAGAAAGAGAUAUUUAAGAGGAAGAGUUGUAGGUUCUCAUACCUAAGGAGCGAAAGACAUCUCUGUAUUAGGGGUGUGCGAGUAGCACACAGGGGAAUAGUAGAGAGAAAUGAGACCCCGGAAGACAAAGUUUUGUGUUUGUGUGAGAGAAAGAGAUUCCACAUGGAGAAUCAUAGUUAGAGACACAUAGCAGGGAGCGAGAUAUACUUAGAGAGAGAUAGAGUGAUGAAGGUCGAGGGAGAGAGUACCGUUAGUGUGUUACGAAGAUAAAAGAUCAUUGUCGACAUACAGGUAGCACGAGAGAUACCCGAGAGACGAUGAACACUUAUAGGUCUAGAGAGAUAGUCCUAUAUAAGCAUGAGUGAUAGUUAUAUGAGACGAAUAUCUGGAUUAAAUGGGAUUCAAAUAUUUAAACCGGAGAUCACGACAUCGAUAAUGUCAUAACGCAAAUUGGUGUAUCAACCAUGCAUAUUCAUUUGAAUUUCGGGACACGUGUAAUGUUAUAUAGUUUAUCAAUAUUGGUGAUCCAUAGAUCCUUUAAUUAGAAACAAUGCAUGGUUUAUAUGCAAUUAAUGUCUAAACGGGAUGCACUAUAUGUUGCGUGUGUGAAACAUAUUAUACAUGUUUGAGAAGUAAAAAAAAACCCAGCCUGAAACACACAUUAAUUGGAGACAGUUAGCGAGGAAUGCAUACAUUGGAUUUCAACAUAAAGUGGUUUCAAAUAUUUGAAAAUCCAAAUUGAUGGAUACAACCUUAUGAAUCUGAGAUCAUGCCAUUUGUAAACCAUAUUUAUGUAUAAAGGGUGUUGUGCUUUUGAAAGUAUAUAUAAAAAAAUGAUGUAUAUAGAAUUUUAUUCCAAUCGAAAAUGGAUCCCGCCCGAAAAAAAUAGAAUACAAACGGGAUUAGAAUUGAGUUGGCACGGUAAACGUGCACUCUGCAAAAUUUGAACGAAGUGGGGAAAGUCACAGUAACCGCCCGAAACUAAAAUCUGCGAGAUGGAAAUUACUACUGCCUAUCCCUGCCACGCAAAGCCUAUCUGCUCAAUUUCCGUAGGUUUCGAUAGGGGUAGGUUUGUAAUUUCACUCAAACGUGACAUAACCGCCUCUCACCCGGAUUCAUACACGGCGGGCGCCAAAACACAGUGUGUCCUCGGCCGAAAUCGACUCCCUCCCCGAUUCAUACACGGUGGGCGCCAAAAACAAACUCUCGUCGGCAAAUAUUCGGUGUAUGCGAGAUUACCGUCCUAUCCCCAACUGACUAAUAUUGCUGUGAUGUAGGAAAUUUGAAACGGGGGCUAAGUUUGUAAAUUUCCUCGCAUUUGAGACAAGCGCGCCCUGAAGACAUGGUUCCCCCUUCCUCUCCACCUCCAUUUCCCCAUUCGUACUCCGUGGGCACCAAAACACCCUCUCCACCCUAGCCUCCUCCGUCCGCCACCCCAUCCACCGCCGUCCUCCUCCACCAUGCCGGAGCUGAUACGCCGACGCCGCCGUCCAUUACAAGAGAUCGACCUCUCUCAUCCACGGCUUCGAACCGGGAUCCUUGCAUCCUGUCCUCUCGCUUUAUCCCCGCCGUCGUCCACCUUGUCGGCGCCGCUCCUAUGACCGUCUCGUCCACCGCGCCCCGCCGCCACCGUCUACCCUCCUAGAUCUGCUUCCACGCCGCCGACAGCUAUCGCUACCGCAGCACCGUCAAAUUCUCAGCAGAUGCAUAUACGGCGCCGCACCAGAGGCGGUACUCUUUCGUAUCUGCUCAACUUAUUUAUCGCAGCAAGAAAAUAGAUCGCCACUGCUUUACUCUGAUUUCUUGUCCAUCACUUACUUGCUAGUUGAGAGCAAACAUUGGUUGCGAAGUUGCCUUUUUGUCCGGUUUGCACCUUCAGAUCCGCCAUGGCACGCUCAACACUAUACUCCCAAUGCUUAUGGUUUUCCCCUUUUAUAUUCCACACUAGUUAAAUCACAGUAGACUAAAUUUCAAAAUUGGGUCAGUCGAUUUUUCAGAGCUCGCCAGAGUUCGCCGGUGCGAACGAAGGGGCUCGGGUGGGGACUUUGGUUGUGGGGGGCGGUGGUGGGGCCUCGCCGAACGAAGAAAACUCGANNNNNNNNNNNNNNNNNNNNNNNNNNNNNNNNNNNNNNNNNNNNNNNNNNNNNNNNNNNNNNNNNNNNNNNNNNNNNNNNNNNNNNNNNNNNNNNNNNNNNNNNNNNNNNNNNNNNNNNNNNNNNNNNNNNNNNNNNNNNNNNNNNNNNNNNNNNNNNNNNNNNNNNNNNNNNNNNNNNNNNNNNNNNNNNNNNNNNNNNNNNNNNNNNNNUUAAAUCACAGUAGACUAAAUUUCAAAAUUGGGUCAGUCGAUUUUUCAGAGCUCGCCAGAGUUCGCCGGUGCGAACGAAGGGGCUCGGGUGGGGACUUUGGUUGGGGGCGGUGGUGGGGCCUCGCCGAACGAAGGAAACUCGACGCGGGUGGGGGCGGGGGUGGGGGUGGGGGUGGCAGAGGAACACAGGCGGUGGGGGCCGAUGGUCCGGCCAGCAGCCCGUGCGGUGUUCUGUAUGGGAAGAAUCAGAGACGAGGAAGAAGAAGGGUUAGGAGAUGUAGGAUCUUCAUCCAACCGCCUGAAAUGGUCGACUGACCCAAAUGCAGACAUGCCUUUAUAUUCAGUACCAUCAUUGUACCUGUUAGCACUGCUCCUGAAUCCAUCAAGCUAAACAACGUGUCACUCAUAAUUCCAAACUUGUUGUUCAAGUACGAAUCUGAUAUGAUGCUGAUAUUACUAAAACAGAUAACAUUUAAUUGGUCAGCUAAUGUUCCUACUUUACUUUCGAAAAAACACGUGCACCACAUAUAGAGAGACAGCAGUGAGUUGCUUUCUUAAUGCGCUCUGGUUCAUCAUGUCUGGGCACUGCGCAACGAACAUUUUAUUAUCCGAAAUCUGCUUGCUCUUCUUUACCAUGUUCCUCUUCCGUUCACCUUUAAUAAGUACUCUCUCCGUUCCUAAAUAUAAGUCUUUGUAUAGAUUCCACCAUGGACUACAUAUGGAGCAAAAUGAGUGAAUCUACACUCUAAAAUGUAUCUGGAUACAUCUGUAUGUGAUCCAUAGUGGAAAUCUCUACCAAGACUUGUAUUUUGGAACAGAGGGAGUAUGGUAGUAGUACAGUAUGUUCCUUGUAGUGAAGAUAAGCAGGGACAUUUGCAGUGUAGAGGUCUAUACGGUCGGUUGGUAUGGACACUUUGAACUCGUCGGACAUCUUUGAUUCGUAGGAUUUUGUAAACAUGGGAAUAUGAUUUGUAGUGGCCUGCCCACUUGAAUCCUAUAAGAAUAACAAGAAAAUGCGGGGAGCUGUGUCGCCUUUGAGAGUUACACUGAUAUUAACAGUACCGCACCUUCAGUUGAAGAGAGCUGGUAUCCGAAGCCUUUCUAGCCGUACCGGCAAUACUAGCACAUAUAUUCCAGCAAGUUCCACUUUGCUGAUUUUACUAUGAUGCUUAUGGUUUUCCCGUUAUAUCUACACUAUGAUCUGUGUACCUGCUUUGUGUCGCACUAGCAGCAGACCACUCUUGAAGCUAAACACCGCAAUGACUUACAAAAUUGGCACCAAGGCAUUGAGUGCCAUUCUGGAUGCAAUGAAACUCAUACACUCCCCACCUGUUGACUCUUGUUCAGAAUAUGAUCCUAAUGACUCUUGUUCAAAAUUGCCACAUAUAGAGAGACAACAUGGAAUUGCAUUUCUUUGGGCGCUAUGAUUCAUCAUGAGUGGGCAACCAACAUUGUAUGCAAUUAAGAGGAACCUCAAGAAUAUGCUUCCUCUUCUGUUCUUUAACAUGUUCCUAUUUUGUUAUUCUGUAUUUAGUACAUACAGUAUGUUCCUUGUCAGGAAGGGGAGCAGGGACAUCUGCAGUCAACAGCUGAUAGAGCUGGCAUGUACUUGAUCGAUAGGCUUUCAAUUACUAGCGGCAAUACAACACCGUAUUUUCAAGCCAGUUCCACUUUCCCGAUUUAUAUAUCGUGGUUAUGGUGUACCCCUUUUAUGUACACUAUGAUCUGCCUAGUUGCUGUGUGCUCUUGCUAUCAUGGUUUGGCAAUAAACUCUCUAUACAGUACAUUUUGAACCUAUCAUCUGCCAACUAUCCUACUUCUGGAGCCCAUUUUUUGUGUACUUGUGCCAGAUUAUAUAAAUGCACGCACCAUAUUACAUCACACAUGAGCUCUCUCAUCAGAAUCCAGUGAUAGCACACAAGUGUUUAUAGGGGCGCCGCUAUAUUAGAAUAUUCUCUGCAUUACAAAGAUAAUCUCACAACUAUUUAUGUUUUCAUGGUUCUUAGAUAUUAUAUGUAAUUACAGUGAAUAUGAGAAUCCGCGCAUCAGAAGAAUAUUGUGGAACACUGCAAUGACUUGCAAAAUUGGCACCAAGGCAUUGAGUGCCAUUCUAGAUGCAAUGAAACUCAUACGCUCCCCACCUGUAGAUUCUUGUUCAGAAUAUGAUCCUAAUGACUAUUCUAACCUCGAGGAGUCAAAGGCAGAUGGCCUGUCAUGUUCACCCAUCAAGGUGCCUGCUCUAAUUUGGAAAGGUUUUAUUGAUUGCGCGUAUCUUGCAUAUGUUGUCUUGCAUUUCUUCUACUUUGUUGCACCGCCAUCUGCUUAGUUUACUCAUCAUAUAUGUCGAGAUGUCAUGCCCAUCCAUUAUCAAUACAUAUUCCAUCUGUCAUCAUACCAUGUUUUUCCACUCAAAUGCUGUUCUUGUGCAUCAGACAUCAAAAAGGAAGAGGGUGAUUGCCGAACCUGAAGGAGCACCAGCAAAGUCCUUGAAAAAUGUGGUUGUGCCAGAGAAAUCAGACAGCACCCCACUUAUAUUGGCUGUACAAUCAGUGAUACAAAACGUAGGACCGACUCCAGCAGACUGUACCCAUACUUCACUGGCCACACCACUAGCCCCACCACACAGGACCUGCACUCCAGCAAAAUGUAUGCCGAUUUCAGUUGCCAUAGCACCAGCCGUACCACAGAAAAAUCCCACUCCAGCAAAAAGUACAGCAAGUCCACCGGCCGAAGACCUAUCCCAACUGCAGAGACGGCCAAUUCCUGCAGAUUGGAACCCCAUUCCAGUUAUUCCCAGUUUAAAAGACAAUGCUUUCAAUGUUGUUAGGGACUACGUGCAUACAUUCCCAUCAUUGGAAGAUUAUAGUGAAGGCAAACACCAUUUUCACAUCUUCCUGUCCCACUUACGUGUAAGUGAUAUUAUUCAUGGUGAUUAUUUUCCUAUUUUCUGCUGAUUGAACACAUCAAUGAUUUACAUUACAUUGUUGUAAGUAGGCAAGGGUCAAUCUGGAUAGUCAUGACGAGCAAAGCUUGCUUGCGCUUUUGAAGGAAGCAUUGCAACAGUAUUGGUGUUACCUGAGGAAAUCACACUUUGAUGGCAAGUCUAUAAACGAAUUUCUGGUGAAGUCUCCUGUGCUAAAUUUAGAAGACAUUGAAUGGAAAAACAAUGUUAUGCACUGGUCUCGUUCCGAGGAUGAGGUACUGUCUAUGAUAUCGCAUGACAAUUUGAACUUCUACUUUUCCGCAUGUGCCUUACGGAUCUUUUUUGCAGAAAAUCUGCUCGAAAAAGAAUUCCGGUUUGAAAAGAACAACAUGAUAUCGCAAAUAUGCUUCCCGUUGCUUUGCUCUUGUUAGUACCUGUUGACAUGUAUCACUGUACUUGCAUACAUACCUGGUUCAUUAUGUGACAGCAGUACGCAUGAUAGCUUGCUUAUCAAUUGUUCGCUCCAAAUUAUCUGAUCUGUAUGAAUGGUUACAUUAAUGUAGAAUAUAUCCAAUGCCAAUGAAUUUUUUUAGCUCUGCAUUGUUCUUGUAAGUACCUGCUGUCCUUUAUCAGUGUACUUAUAUUGACACGUAGUUGUUCAUGUAUCAUCACUCUGCAGCUUAUUUUCCUUUGCCCUCCAUUUUCUACACAUAAGAUCUAUAUUUACUCUUACCAUAAGGUUGGAUAACACCGAUGGUACUGAAGAAGUUUAGCUCUGCAUUGCUCUUGGCUAUACCUUUUGCCUGUAUCGCUGUACUUACAUUUAUAGAUACUUGGUUAUGUAGCAUCACUCUUCAUCUUAUCUUAAAUAUUCUCCAUUUUUUCUUAUAUUGUCACAUCUAUAUUUACUCUUAACAAAAUGUAGAAUAAAGGCAAUGUUUAUGAAGAAGAUUCUGUGGUAAACUUCUUGAAUUGCCCCCCCAUCAGCAUGGACAAGGGCUUUAUAGAGCAUGCCUUCACCAAUAAUGUAAGUUUGUCCUUCUCAAGCCUUCAAACUUUGUUGUGUAUAUUUGGUUAGGCAUGACUGCAACAGCUGUUUAUUUUUUGUGUUUGCAUCAAAUUGCAUGUUUAAAGUUUAUUAUGUACUCCAGUUCAUAAACAAAAGUUUGUCCUUCUCAAUUUAAGUUUUCAGUUGUACAACCAAGUUUCUUCUUCAUACCAUGUAAAUUAAACUAUACAGAGCAAGUGAUCUUAUUUUGGCAAUCUGAAAUGGGAUAAAUUGACAGCACACUAACCAUUGAUACUUAUGAGUUCUUGAUCUGUAAUCCAGUGGUGUCAUGAAGAUGCCAACUCCUUCACAAUGUCAUUUCCUGCCAUGUCUUGACCUGAACAAUACCAUAUUGUGUUAAUGCUAUUUUAAACUGUGUCACUUUAUUCGUUAGUAAGAAAUGUGAUGAAUUGUCAGCACUGAUACUUGUAUGUGAAAAACCUGUCAUCUGUCUGCUUUGUUUAUCUUUCAGAGUGAGGAGGAUAUAAGUGUCAAACAAGUGCAGUCUCACCAGCUUGCUCAGCUGCUUGCGCUGCAGCUCCCGAGCAGGGCUAACCUUUCUUGAACUCUAUUGAAGUGCUGCCGGUUUUGUAUAUUAUUUUGUCGGCGUGUUUAGUUGCACUGGUGGCGAUCUUUGAUGCCCAGUGUAUGUAAUCUGCUGUCUGCUUGUGCUUUAUUAUCAUAGUGGCGAACUUUGAUGCCCAGUGGAUGUAAUAUGCCGUAAUUUCUUUAUUGUAUAGUCUAGGUUUUUUUCUUAUUCGCGAUGCUGCAGUUAUUUUACUGUAUAUAUAUCCCGUCUUCGUAGUAAACCGGCCAAACCGUGAAAUUACGGUACAUAAUUGGGCCGUCAUGCAAAUCACCAUGUAUGAUCCACAUCAUAGGCCCCAUCAUCUUGGUCCGUUAACAUGCCUAAAUGUAAACUGGCCCACUAGUAGAUUCAGGCCUUUAAUAGGCCGAGUAAACCGCCGGCCCUAUUUUCCCAAGAAAACUCAAUGGGCCUUUAGGAGGCUGAAAAGUAGGUUUGGCCUGAAACGUGCCGAACAGCUCACGGGCCGGCAGCAGGCCGAAAUAGACCCUGGCCCAUGAAUGGGCCAAUCAAAUCAUGGGCUUAUAACAGGCCAAAAAUGUCUCGGUCGUUGUUCGGCCUAAUCAGAUUAUCAGCUGCGAGCAGGCCGGAUGCAAACCGGGCCGUAGUUAGGCCCAACUAUAUGACGGGCUUUUAACAGGCCGAAAUUAAUAUAGGGCCGAAAUGUUAAACGGGCCCUUAACAGGCCGAAACUAAUAUCAGGCCAAAUUACUAAAUGUGCCUUUAGCAAGUGGGCCCAAAAGCAUAGCGUCAAGUUGACGGGCCGAAUCUGAUAUGGGCCAUAAUUUAGCCCAAAGCGUCUUAAAGGGCCGGACUAGAUCUGGGCCGUAAUUUGGCCCAGAACGUGGUAGGCUUUUAACGGGCCGGAUCUCAUAUGGGCCAUUAUUAGGCCUGGAACGUGGCAGACCAUUAAUGGACCGGAUCAAAUAUGGGCCGGCAUUUGGCCCAAAACAUGGCAGCCAGUUAAUGGGCCGGCCUACUAGGGUCCUCAAAAUCUUGUUCGCCUACAGCUGGGCCAGCCCAUUAAUGUCGGCGAAAUCUCGUAGGCCUUUAGCUGGGCCGGCCCAUUAUGGUCCACAAAAUUCUUGUGGGCCUUCACCUGGGCCGGCCCAUUAUCGCCCACAAAAAUCUUGUGGGCCUUUACCUGGGCCGACCCAUUAUGGCCCGCAAAAACUUGCGGGCCUUCAGCUGGGUCGGCCCAUUAUGGUCCGCAAAAUCUUGUGGGCCUUUAGUUGGGCUGGCCCAUUUAAACUUUAUGGGCCACUUUUGGGCCGGUCCACGUGUUAACAUAACAUAGGCGCAUCUCGCCCAUUAGAUGAGUGACACCUGUGUCAACACGGAGCUGACACGUGUUUCCUACAGCCAAUGAUGAUUUUACACGUGGAAAAUCCCCAUUGGUUUGGGCUGUUAACGGGUUAUCGGAUCCAAAAUCGGGCCCGAUAGCUUAACGGUGUUCCGUUACGGUGGAUGCCACGUGUCGAUCACCCUUGAUGAAAGCACUUCUGUGACGCGCGAUUUAUUAUCAUGGAAGUGGAAACUUCGUGAUGAUAAUUUUGGCAAUGUCAUGGAACACUUCUACGACAGCACAUGUAUGACUAUCUUGAUUCUGUCAUAAAUUUGUCAUGGAUGUACAUGCAUGACAGAAAACGUGACCUACUGUGACAAACACAUAUCAUCACGGAAGUGUAUUUUUUUGUAGUGCUGAAAGGAUCACAUUGGUCGGCAACGACGGAAGUGAAAAUUUUGGUUCAUUAAUACCACAGAGUUCGGGAACUCUCCCCAAACUAAAUCCUCAAUAUUUUCCUCCCACAUUGAUCGGAGGUGAGGUUUCGUAAUCAUGAUAAGCAUGACGACCCAAAGAAAGGAACCGAUAGCGCGACUAUUUUCUUUGGAAGAUGUUUCUUACGUUAAAACGUAAUAUAACAUAUCUCUCCGUGUACCUUUGUUUAUAAAACCGUAUGGCCGGAUUGCCUUGUUUUCCAUAAAUCUUUGCCCUUAUAACGGCUUUAUAAAGUAGGAAAACACUCCUCGGCUACUGGCCGAUGAGGUUGAAGCUGAUGGUCGGUCAACAAAGUUUUGUACAAUGUGGAUCCGAGCAUUAAUGAUGUAAAGUACUUGGAUACAUAGAGUCAUUGCAAAUAAUUUGUGAUUUUACUAUGGAUAUCGAUCCUUAAUUCGGCCACCCGUGCCCACAUUAAGGCUCGGGGGCUACUGGGCUUCGGGCGCAUUAUUUAUAAAUAUUAAAGGGGCACAUCGAUUCCCUGAUCUGGUGUUGCCACCCGACCAGUGGCUCGGGGGCUACUGCAUUGCCUAUUCAAUGUAGAAAAUUCAAAGUGCUCAGUGUUCGGCUUGACCGAACUCCAGGCAAACGCGUCUUCGGACUUAUCCGACAUCAAGCUAAUGUAUUACGGCAACUUCUCAAGACCCUCUCUCAAGGGCCCCGUUCGCCGAUCACUAUUUCCUCUAAUAUAUUACACCGCGUUUCUAUUCCUAAGUAUGCUGCCGAGCUGGGAAUUGAUCCUCAGGCCGAUUUCACGAAUCGACCAGAGUCUCAGGGGCUACUGAGAAAAGCGGUUUGAUUUUAUCCUUCAGGUGCAUCCCAGAUAUUAUGCCAACACGCACCUUGAGGGCUAUUGGCUAUACAUCUCGGCAAAGAAUACAUUGCACAAAUCAGAAUUAAAUUCAUAAAAAUCAGCUCAUGGCCGAGGUGAUGCUCGGAUAUAGUUCGGCGUUGGUGCUCGGCUGCAAAAGAUAGCUUGGAAGUAGUCCGGCAUAAAGCUCCGUUGCAAGUGGCUGGCUCCAUAGAGGGCAUCUCCGGCAUUAAGCUUGGUUUAACCUCCUUCAAACUUUUCAAACUAAGGUGAUCUAUGACACCUUGGAUAUAGUCCGGCGUUGGAGCUCGGAUACAGUCCGGCGUUGGAGCUCGGAUACAGUCCGGCGUUGGUGCUCGGCUGCAAAAGAUACCUCAAGGCAGUCCGGCGUUGGAGCUUGGAUGCAAAAGGACACCACCGCACGGGAACAGCUUCAAACCCAAGGUGUGGCGUAAAAAAUUACAAGGCAUUGAUAAAGGCCGAAAACUUGAAGGUCUCCUCGGAUGACCGACGUGUGAACUCUUCGGAUUUAGCUCGGCGAUCCUCAAGAUCGAAGAUGGGAAGAUUUGUUGAACUAAUUUUCAAGACCGACGACUGAAGAUGAAGAACAGUUUGGAAGAAUCGAGGAGCGUCCCCAACUUGAAGACCGGUUCAGGGGGCUACUGAAGGUGUCCUGGACUAGGGGUACUCACCACGUCGUCUCCCGACCAGCUGGAUCGGGCCGAGGACCCCCAUGGCGGUUCACUAUUGGGCCAGCUCGGACAGCCCAUGCCGCAUAUAAGAAGGAUUCCACAAGACUUGGCGCCCAAGCCAAGGACUCCCCUAAAACCCUAGGCCUCCGGUGUGUUGUAUAAACCGAGGCCAGGCUAGUCAAUCGACAAUCUCAUAUUCAUUACUACAAUCUCGUGGUAGAUACAUGUACUCUAUACUACACCCAUAUGAAUACAAUCAAAAGCAGCAUGUAGGGUAUUAUCUCUUCGAGAGAGCCCGAAGCUGGGUAAAACCCCGUGUCCAUGUUACCAUCACUCCAAGAUGCCUAACUUAGGACCCCUACUACGAGAUACGCCGGAUAUUGAACCGACAGUCGCGGCUAGCCACAACGGUCAGUGUGGCUACCCGGGAACAAGGGCGGCGAGCCGGGGAGCUUCGGCGUCGGUCAUGUGGCUCUCAUCCCGUGUGCGCGCCAGCAUUUCAUUCAGGUCGAGACGCGAAACAUAAAAGAUGUGAUGGGGACGAAGAGGCGUGAUCUCCCAAUCGCGUGUGCACCGCGAGGUCAAAACCAACCGCGAUGAUCGAACGUCAAACAACACAGAAAUGACCCGUUUGACCAGCAUUUGAUGUGUCAAAUAGAAGGAGAUCGAGCGAGCCUCCUGGAGCCGAGUCUCCCAAUCACCUUAUAGGUUAGAAUGAGUUGGGGUCAUAGUAUUGCAUUACAUGAGCUGGGGUAAAGCACGAUAGGAGAGAAAAAGGCCUGCCACCGCUGUCCGCAGAUGGUAACGUCAACCGUCGGCGCCGAGAAGGUAAAGGUCGUGGGAGGCGUUGUGGUGACGGUGUUGGGUUACCGCCUGAGUCUCCCUAGCGAGUGUUGCGGGAGCUGCCUUGUUCUCCGUUGUCGUUCAACCUUGUGGUCACACUCGACGAUGAGAAUCAGGAACUUGGAAUAAAACAUGCUAGCGUAGCCUCUUUUCUCAAUCCAAUAUCGUUUUAUAUAAAAUUUCAUCGUCACUUAUUGGCCAAUACGCAUUAUGCAUGCGAUUUUUCUAAGGUGGCUGAUGUUGAGCUCUCUUCAAUAAAUAAAUUUCUUAAUUUAAAAAUUGAUUGACCCAUUAAUGACUAUAUAAUCCUAUCAACAAAUGACUAUAUAAUCUGAUACAAGAGUUAAUGACUAAUCUCUUCCUCCGGGUUUAUUGGAUCAUAAAUUUUUACUAAGAAAAUACACGUUAGCUGGAUGUAAGUUGCCUGAAAAUUAAAUUUGUGUCAAUCAACUUUUCUGACCGUUGAUUGAUGCUUCAAGAUUCGUGCUUUUUUUUCUGCUAUGUGAUAUGUCUUGUUUUGGGCUGGAAAUUUUUGAUUGGCCCCUUUAUUUUGGGUCUAUCAAUUCCUUAACAGUCUGGCCCAUUAAGCUGUGCAACCCAACAUGCUCUAUGUCGCCCAUCUGAUGACCAGGCCCUCCCUCUCUCCCUUUGUUUUUUCUGUUUUCUGUUUUUAUGUGUUUUUUUGUUUUUGUUUUCUGUUUUUCUUUAUUAGUAUAUUAUUAUUUUUAUUUUCAGGUUAUUUUUGGAAUGUUAGGUGAGUUUAAAUAUAUAGGCACAAGUACUAUACAAUAUGUGCAAAAAUUGCAAUAUUAUAUGAUUAUUAUUUUGCAUACCAAAGAGUGCAAUUUCAAUGCAAAUUUGUGUGCAAGUUUACUAAAAUAUUUUAUUUCUUCUUAGAGGGUAACACCAACGUCACUAUUUCAUUAUUCCUUAUAAAACUUCACUGUUUUGAUUUAUUUUUAGUUUUAGUUUUAAUUUCUACUUCCUUUAAGAGUAGUACCAAUGCCAAUAUUUCAUUCUUAGGAAACUCUUUUUUGUGUAGAUCGUGUGUAAAUUAUUUUAUUGUUUAUUUUAGAUUUAUUUCAUUUUCUUUCUUCUAAAGGGUAAUACCUAAAAAAAUCAUUCUUUAUUAGAAAACUUUAUUAUUCUGAUUUUGUUUUAGUAUUUUUUUCAAUUUCUUUCUUCCUAAAGGGUAAUAUCAAUGCGACAAAUUCAUUCUUCUUACAAAAAAAUCAUUACAUUGAUUUUUGUUUUGCUUUUGCUUUUAUUUUAUUUCAUCUGUACGGGUAAUACCAAUGCCACUAAUUCAUUCCUUCUUACAAAACUUUCACUAUUAUAUGUUUAUUCUUGCAUAUUAUAAGAAAAUGCAAUUUCUGUGUAAAUUGUAUGCAAAUUUUCUCAUGGUUUGUUUUAGUUUUUUUUUCAUUUUUUUCUUGAAGGGCAAUAGUAUGGCCACUAAUUCAUUCUUUCUUGGAAUGUUUUUUAUUUUAUUUUAGUUUUUAUUUCAUUUUAUUUCUUCUUAAAGGGUAAUACUAAUGCCACUAAUUCAUUUUUCCAUAGAAAACUUAAUUAUUUUGAUUUGUUUUUAGUUUUUUUCAUUUACUUUCUUCUUAAAGUGCAAUGAAAAAUGCCACAAAUUCAUUCUUCCAUAGAAAAAUUAAUUAUUUUGAUUCUACUUUUGCUUUAAUUUAUUUUAUUUCAUCUUUAAGGGUACUACCAAUGCCACUAAUUCAUUCGUUUGUGGGAAACAUUCUUUUGCGAAAAUGUCACUAUUAUAUGUUUCUUCUUGCAUAUUAUAAAAAGUGCAAUUUCUAUGAAAAAGUAUGCAAAUUUUGUCAUUGUUUGUUUUACUUAUUUUAUUUUUCAUAAAGUAUCAAUGCCACAAAUCCAUUCUUUCUUAGCAACUUUGUUAUUUUUAUUUUCUUUCUUCUUUAAUAGUAAUACCAAUGCCACUGAUUCAUUCCUUCUUAGGAAACUUUGUUUUCGCGAUGAUUCUAUUAUUAUAUGCUAGUACUUAAAUGUGUAAUAGAAAUGCGUAAUUUCUGUGUAAAGUAUGUGCAAUUUUUGUUAUUCUUUGUUUUUUUAUUUUUGUUUCUUCUUGAAGGGUAAUACUUAAAUGUUUUGAUUUUUAGGUUUUAUUUUAGGGAUUUUCUCGAAUAUGUUUUUAUUUUAGGGAUUAAACGAGUCCGAUUAAUUUAUUUCUUAAACCUUGCAUUUUUGCAUAUGUAUGCAUGUAGUCCUAUAGUCCUAUCAAUUCAUCCAGGAAAGCUCAGGUGAGUAGACAUGCGAGUAAUGCUACAUUUGUUGAAAACGUAGUAAUUUCAAAAAAAUUCCUACGCACACGCAAGAUCAUGGUGAUGCAUAGCAACGAGAGGGGAGAGUGUUGUCCACGUACCCUCGUAGACCGACAGCGGAAGCGUUAUCACAACGCGGUUGAUGUAGUCGUACGUCUUCAUGAUCCGACCGAUCAAGUACCGAACGUACGGCACCUCCGAGUUCUACACACGUUCAGCUCGAUGACGUCCCUCGAACUCCGAUCCAGCCGAGCGUUGAGGGAGAGUUUCGUCAGCACGACGGCGUGGUGACGAUGAUGAUGUUCCACCGACGCAGGGCUUCGCCUAAGCUCCGCAACGGUAUUAUCGAGGUGUAAUAUGGUGGAGGGGGGCACCGCACACGGCUAAUAGAUCUCAAGGAUCAAUUGUUGUGUCUCUGGGGUGCCCCCCUGCCCCCGUAUAUAAAGGAGCAAGGGGGAGGCAGCCGGCCAAGGGGAGAGGCGCGCCAUAGGGGGGAGUCCUACUCCCACCGGGAGUAGGACUCCUCCUUUCCUUGUGGGAGUAGGAGAAGGGAAGGGGGAAGGAGAAAGAAGGAAGGGUGCGCCCCCCUUCCCUAGUCCAAUUCGGACCAGAACAUGGGGAGGGGUGCGGCCACCUUUUGAGGCCUUUCUCUCCUUUCCCGUAUGGCCCAUUAAGGCCCAAUACGAAUUCCCGUAACUCUCCGGUACUCCGAAAAAUACCCGAAUCACUCGGAACCUUUCCGAAGUUCGAAUAUAGUCGUCCAAUAUAUCGAUCUUUACGUCUCGACCAUUUCGAGACUCCUCGUCAUAUCCCCGAUCUCAUCCGGGACUCCGAACUCCUUCGGUACAUCAAAACUCAAUAAAACUGUCAUCGUAACGUUAAGCGUGCGGACCCUACGGGUUCGAGAACUAUGUAGACAUGACCGAGACACGUCUCCGGUCAAUAACCAAUAGCGCGACCUGGAUGCCCAUAUUGGCUCCCACAUAUUCUACGAAGAUCUUUAUCGGUCAGACCGCAUAACAACAUACGUUGUUUCCUUUGUCACCGGUAUGUUACUUGACCGAGAUUUGAUCGUCGGUAUCUCAAUACCUAGUUCAAUCUCGUUACCGGCAAGUCUCUUUACUCGUUCCGUAACACAUCAUCCCGCAACUAACUCAUUAGUCACAAUGCUUGCAAGGCUUAUAGUGAUGUGUAUUACCGAGUGGGCCCAGAGAUACCUCUCCGACAAUUGGAGUGACAAAUCCUAAUCUCGAAAUACGCCAACCCAACAAGUACCUUUGGAGACACCUGUAGAGCACCUUUAUAAUCACCCAUUUACGUUGUGACGUUUGGUAGCACACAAAGUGUUCCUCCGGUAAACGGGAGUUGCAUAAUCUCAUAGUCAUAGGAACAUGUAUAUGUCAUGAAGAAAGCAAUAGCAACAUACUAAACGAUCGAGUGCUAAGCUAACGGAAUGGGUCAAGUCAAUCACGUCAUUCUCCUAAUGAGGUGAUCUCGUUAAUCAAAUGACAACUUAUGUCUAUGGCUAGGAAACAUAUCCAUCUUUGAUUAACGAGCUAGUCAAGUAGAGGCAUACUAGUGACACUCUGUUUGUCUAUAUAUUCACACAUGUAUUAUGUUUCCGGUUAAUACAAUUCUAGCAUGAAUAAUAAACAUUUAUCAUGAUACAAGGAAAUAAAUAAUACUUUAUUAUUGCCUCUAGGGCAUAUUUCCUUCAAUCUCCCACUUGCACUAGAGUCAAUAAUCUAGAUUACACAGUAAUGAUUCUUACACCCAUGGAGCCUUGGUGUUGAUCAUGUUUUGCUCGUGGAAGAGGCUUAGUCAACGGGUCUGCAACAUUCAGAUCCGUAUGUAUCUUGCAAAUUUCUAUGUCUCCCACCUGGACUAAAUCCCGGAUGGAAUUGAAGGGUCUUUUGAUGUGCUUGGUUCUCUUGUGAAAUCUGGAUUCCUUUGCCAAGGCAAUUGCACCAGUAUUGUCACAAAAUAUUUUCAUAGGACCCGAUGCAUUAGGUAUGACACCUAGAUCGGAUAUGAACUCCUUCAUCCAGACUCCUUCAUUUGCUGCUUCCGAAGCAGCUAUGUACUCCGCUUCACAUGUAGAUCCCGCCACGACGCUUUGUUUAGAACUGCACCAACUGACAGCUCCACCGUUCAAUGUAAAUACGUAUCCGGUUUGCGAUUUAGAAUCGUCCGGAUCAGUGUCAAAGCUUGCAUCAACGUAACCAUUUACGAUGAGCUCUUUGUCACCUCCAUAUACGAGAAACAUAUCCUUAGUCCUUUUCAGGUAUUUCAGGAUGUUCUUGACCGCUGUCCAGUGAUCCACUCCUGGAUUACUUUGGUACCUUCCUGCUAGACUUAUAGCAAGGCAUACAUCAGGUCUGGUACACAGCAUUGCAUACAUGAUAGAGCCUAUGGCUGAAGCAUAGGGGACAUCUUUCAUCUUCUCUCUAUCUUCUGCAGUGGUCGGGCAUUGAGUCUUACUCAACUUCACACCUUGCAACACAGGCAAGAAUCCUUUCUUUGCUUGAUCCAUUUUGAACUUCUUCAAAACUUUGUCAAGGUAUGUGCUUUGUGAAAGUCCAAUUAAGCGUCUUGAUCUAUCUCUAUAGAUCUUGAUGCCCAAUAUAUACGCAGCUUCACCGAGGUCUUUCAUUGAAAAACUCUUAUUCAAGUAUCCCUUUAUGCUAUCCAGAAAUUCUAUAUCAUUUCCAAUCAGUAAUAUGUCAUCCACAUAUAAUAUCAGAAAUGCUACAGAGCUCCCACUCACUUUCUUGUAAAUACAGGCUUCUCCAAAAGUCUGUAUAAAACCAAAUGCUUUGGUCACACUAUCAAAGCGUUUAUUCCAACUCCGAGAGGCUUGCACCAGUCCAUAAAUGGAUCGCUGGAGCUUGCACACUUUGUUAGCUCCCAUUGGAUCGACAAAACCUUCUGGUUGCAUCAUAUACAACUCUUCUUCCAGAAAUCCAUUCAGGAAUGCAGUUUUGACAUCCAUUUGCCAAAUUUCAUAAUCAUAAAAUGCGGCAAUUGCUAACAUGAUUCGGACAGACUUAAGCAUCGCUACGGGUGAGAAGGUCUCAUCGUAGUCAAUCCCUUGAACUUGUCAAAAACCUUUCGCAACAAGUCGAGCUUUAUAGACAGUAACAUUACCAUCAGCGUCAGUCUUCUUCUUGAAGAUCCAUUUAUUUUCAAUGGCUUGCCGAUCAUUGGGCAAGUCAACCAAAGUCCAUACUUUUUUCUCAUACAUGGAUCCCAUCUCAGAUUUCAUGGCCUCAAGCCAUUUUGCGGAAUCUGGGCUCACCAUCGCUUCUUCAUAGUUCGUAGGUUCGUCAUGGUCUAGUAACAUGACUUCCAGAACGGGAUUACCGUACCACUCUGGUGCGGAUCUUACUCUGGUUGAUCUACGAGGUUCAGUAAUAACUUGAUCUGAAGUUUCAUGAUCAUCAUCAUUAACUCCCUCAGUAAUUGGUGUAGGUGUCUCAGAAACUGGUUUCUGUGAUGAACUACUUUCCAAUAAGGGAGCAGGUAUAGUUACCUCAUCAAGUUCUACUUUCCUCCCACUCACUUCUUUCGAGAGAAACUCCUUCUCUAGAAAAUUUCUGAAUUUAGCAACAAAAGUUUUGCCUUCGGAUCUAUGAUAGAAGGUAUAUCCAACAGUCUCCUUUGGGUAUCCUAUGAAGACACAUUUCUCCGAUUUGGGUUCGAGCUUAUCAGGUUGAAGUUUCUUCACAUAAGCAUCGCAGCCCCAAACUUUAAGAAACGACAACUUUGGUUUCUUCCCAAACCACAGUUCAUAAGGCAUCGUCUCAACGGAUUUUGAUGGUGCCCUAUUUAACGUGAAUGCAGCCGUCUCUAAAGCAUAACCCCAAAACGUUAGCGGUAAAUCAGUAAGAGACAUCAUAGAUCGCACCAUAUCUAGUAAAGUGCGAUUACGACGUUCGGACACACCAUUACGCUGUGGUGUUCCGGGUGGCGUGAGUUGCGAAACUAUUCCGCAUUGUUUCAAAUGUAGACCAAACUCAUAACUCAAAUAUUCUCCUCCACGAUCUGAUCGUAGAAACUUUAUUUUCUUGUUACGAUGAUUUUCAACUUCACUCUGAAAUUCUUUGAACUUUUCAAAUGUUUCAGACUUAUGUUUCAUUAAGUAGAUAUACCCAUAUCUGCUUAAAUCAUCUGUGAAGGUGAGAAAAUAACGAUAUCCGCCACGAGCCUCAACAUUCAUCGGACCACAUACAUCUGUAUGUAUGAUUUCCAACAAAUCUGUUGCUCUCUCCAUAGUUUCGGAGAACGGUGUUUUAGUCAUCUUGCCCAUGAGGCACGGUUCGCAAGUACCAAGUGAUUCAUAAUCAAGUGGUUCCAAAAGUCCAUCAGUAUGGAGUUUCUUCAUGCGCUUUACACCGAUAUGACCUAAACGGCAGUGCCACAAAUAAGUUGCACUAUCAUUAUCAACUCUGCAUCUUUUGGUUUCAAUAUUAUGAAUAUGUGUAUCACUACUAUCGAGAUUCAACAAAAAUAGAACACUCUUCAAGGGUGCAUGACCAUAAAAGAUAUUACUCAUAUAAAUAGAACAACCAUUAUUCUCUGAUUUAAAUGAAUAACCGUCUCGCAUCAAACAAGAUCCAGAUAUAAUGUUCAUGCUCAACGCUGGCACCAAAUAACAAUUAUUUAGGUCUAAAACUAAUCCCGAAGGUAGAUGUAGAGGUAGCGUGCCGACCGCGAUCACAUCGACUUUGGAACCAUUUCCCACGCGCAUCGUCACCUCGUCCUUAGCCAAUCUUCGCUUAAUCCGUAGCCCCUGUUUCGAGUUGCAAAUAUUAGCAACAGAACCAGUAUCAAAUACCCAGGUGCUACUGCGAGCAUUAGUAAGGUACACAUCAAUAACAUGUAUAUCACAUAUACCUUUGUUCACCUUGCCAUCCUUCUUAUCCGCCAAAUACUUUGGGCAGUUCCGCUUCCAGUGACCAGUUUGCUUGCAGUAGCAGCACUCGGUUUCAGGCUUAGGUCCAGACUUGGGUUUCUUCUCCUGAGCAGCAACUUGUUCGCUGUUCUUCUUGAAGUUCCCUUUCUUCUUCCCUUUACCCUUUUUCUUGAAACUGGUGGUCUUAUUGACCAUCAACACUUGAUGCUCCUUUUUGAUUUCUACCUCCGCAGCCUUUAGCAUUGUGAAGAGCUCGGGAAUUGUCUUACUCAUCCCUUGCAUAUUAUAGUUCAUCACGAAGCUCUUGUAGCUUGGUGGCAGUGAUUGAAGAAUUCUGUCAAUAAUGCUAUCAUCCGGAAGAUUAACUCCCAGUUGAAUCAAGUGAUUGUUAUACCCAGACAUUUUGAGUAUAUGCUCAUUGACAGAACUAUUCUCUUCCAUCUUGCAGCUGAAGAACUUAUUGGAGACUUCAUAUCUCUCAAUUCGGGCAUUUGCUUGAAAUAUUAACUUCAACUCCUGGAACAUCUCAUAUGCUCCAUGACGUUCAAAACGUCGUUGAAGACCCGGUUCUAAGCCGUAAAGCAUGGCACACUGAACUAUCGAGUAGUCAUCAACACGUGACUGCCAGGCAUUCACAAUGUCUGCAGUUGCUGGUGCAGGUGGUACACCUAGCGGUGCUUCCAGGACGUAAUUUUUCUGUGCAGCAAUGAGGAUAAUCCUCAAGUUACGGACCCAGUCCGUGUAAUUGCUACCAUCAUCUUUCAACUUUGCUUUCUCAAGGAACGCAUUAAAAUUCAACGGAACAACAGCACGGGCCAUCUAUCUACAAUUAACAUAGACAAGCAAGAUACUCUCAGGUACUAAGUUCAUGAUAAAUUCAAGUUCAAUUAAUCAUAUUACUUAAGAACUCCCACUUAGAUAGACAUCCCUCUAAUCCUCUAAGUGAUCACGUGAUCCAUAUCAACUAAACCAUGUCCGAUCAUCACGUGAGAUGGAGUAGUUUCAACGGUGAACAUCACUAUGUUGAUCAUAUCUACUAUAUGAUUCACGCUCGACCUUUCGGUCUCCGUGUUCCGAGGCCAUAUCUGUUAUAUGCUAGGCUCGUCAAGUUUAACCUGAGUAUUCCGCGUGCGCAACUGUUUUGCACCCGUUGUAUUUGAACGUAGAGCCUAUCACACCCGAUCAUCACGUGGUGUCUCAGCACGAAGAACUUUCGCAACGGUGCAUACCCAGGGAGAACACUUAUACUUUGAUAAUUUAGUGAAGGAUCAUCUUAUAAUGCUACCGUCAAACAAAGCAAGAUAAGAUGCAUAAAGGAUUAACAUCACAUGCAAUCAAUAUAAGUGAUAUGAUAUGGCCAUCAUCAUCUUGUGCUUGUGAUCUCCAUCUCCGAAGCACCGUGCUUGUGAUCUCCAUCUCCGAAGCACCGUCAUGAUCACCAUCGUCACCGGCGCGACACCUUGAUCUCCAUCGUAGCAUCGUUGUCGUCUUGCCAACUUAUUGCUUUUACGACUAUCACUACCGCUUAGUGAUAAAGUAAAACUAUUACAUGGCGAUUGCAUCUCAUACAAUAAAGCGACAACCAUAUGGCUCCUGCCAGUUGCCGAUAACUCAGUUACAAAACAUGAUCAUCUCAUACAACACAUUAUAUCACAUCAUGUCUUGACCAUAUCACAUCACAACAUGCCCUGCAAAAACAAGUUAGACGUCCUCUACUUUGUUGUUGCAUGUUUUACGUGGCUGCUACGGGCUUAGCAAGAACCGUUCUUACCUACGCAUCAAAACCACAACGAUAGUUUGUCAAGUUGGUGCUGUUUUAACCUUCGCAAGGACCGGGCGUAGCCACACUCGGUUCAACUAAAGUGAGAGAGACAGACACCCGCCGGUCACCUUUAAGCAACGAGUGCUCGCAACGGUGAAACCAGUCUCGCGUAAGCGUACGCGUAAUGGCGGUCCGGGCCGCUUCAUCUCACAAUACCGCUGAACCAAAGUAUGACAUGCUGGUAAGCAGUAUGACUUAUAUCGCCCACAACUCACUUGUGUUCUACUCGUGCAUAGCAUCAACGCAUAAAACCUGGCUCGGAUGCCACUGUUGAAAACGUAGUAAUUUCAAAAAAAUUCCUACGCACACGCAAGAUCAUGGUGAUGCAUAGAAACGAGAGGGGAGAGUGUUGUCCACGUACCCUCGUAGACCGACAGCGGAAGCGUUAUCAUAACGCGGUUGAUGUAGUCGUACGUCUUCACGAUCCGACCGAUCAAGUACCGAACGUACGGCACCUCCGAGUUCUACACACGUUCAGCUCGAUGACGUCCCUCGAACUCCGAUCCAGCCGAGCGUUGAGGGAGAGUUUCGUCAGCACGACGGCGUGGUGACGAUGAUGAUGUUCCACCGACGCAGGGCUUCGCCUAAACUCCGCAACGGUAUUAUCGAGGUGUAAUAUGGUGGAGGGGGGCACCGCACACGGCUAAUAGAUCUCAAGGAUCAAUUGUUGUGUCUCUGGGGUGCCCCCCUGCCCCCGUAUAUAAAGGAGCAAGGGGGAGGCAGCCGGCCAAGGGGAGAGGCGCGCCAUAGGGGGGAGUCCUACUCCCACCGGGAGUAGGACUCCUCCUUUCCUUGUGGGAGUAGGAGAAGGGAAGAGGGAAGGAGAAAGAAGGAAGGGUGCGCCCCCCUUCCCUAGUCCAAUUCGGACCAGAACAUGGGGAGGGGUGCGGCCACCUUUUGAGGCCUUUCUCUCCUUUCCCGUAUGGCCCAUUAAGGCCCAAUACGAAUUCCCGUAACUCUCCGGUACUCCGAAAAAUACCCGAAUCACUCGGAACCUUUCCAAAGUUCGAAUAUAGUCGUCCAAUAUAUCGAUCUUUACGUCUCGACCAUUUCGAGACUCCUCGUCAUAUCCCCGAUCUCAUCCGGGACUCCGAACUCCUUCGGUACAUCAAAACUCAAUAAAAUUGUCAUCGUAACGUUAAGCGUGCGGACCCUACGGGUUCGAGAACUAUGUAGACAUGACCGAGACACGACUCCGGUCAAUAACCAAUAGCGGGACCUGGAUGCCCAUAUUGGCUCCCACAUAUUCUACGAAGAUCUUUAUCGGUCAGACCGCAUAACAACAUACGUUGUUCCCUUUGUCACCGGUAUGUUACUUGCCCGAGAUUUGAUCGUCGGUAUCUCGAUACCUAGUUCAAUCUCGUUACCGGCAAGUCUCUUUACUCGUUCCGUAACACAUCAUCCCGCAACUAACUCAUUAGUCACAAUGCUUGCAAGGCUUAUAGUGAUGUGCACUACCGAGUGGGCCCAGAGAUACCUCUCCGACAAUUGGAGUGACAAAUCCUAAUCUCGAAAUACGCCAACCCAACAAGUACCUUUGGAGACACCUGUAGAGCACCUUUAUAAUCACCCAUUUACGUUGUGACGUUUGGUAGCACACAAAGUGUUCCUCCGGUAAACGGGAGUUGCAUAAUCUCAUAGUCAUAGGAACAUGUAUAAGUCAUGAAGAAAGCAAUAGCAACAUACUAAACGAUCGAGUGCUAAGCUAACGGAAUGGGUCAAGUCAAUCACGUCAUUCUCCUAAUGAGGUGAUCUCGUUAAUCAAAUGACAACUUAUGUCUAUGGUUAGGAAACAUAACCAUCUUUGAUUAACGAGCUAGUCAAGUAGAGGCAUACUAGUGACACUCUGUUUGUCUAUAUAUUCACACAUGUAUUAUGUUUCCGGUUAAUACAAUUCUAGCAUGAAUAAUAAACAUUUAUCAUGAUACAAGGAAAUAAAUAAUACUUUAUUAUUGCCUCUAGGGCAUAUUUCCUUCAACAUUCACGGGCAUUUACGGUCGUUUUACCGGGCUGGCGGGGGCACCUACCAAUUAAAAUCAGGGGGGCGCGGUUUUUUUUAGGGAAAUGCCAUCAUGGCGGUUUAUAUUUCAUGUGAGAAUAAAGAUACAUCGUUUGUUAAAACAUCCACUAAGAAACCCGGGGGCUCCGAUUUCCAAACAAUUGUUCGAGACACCUCCGAGUUCUUAGCUAGCAGAUCCGCCGCCAUAUUGGCUUCCCGAGGGCAAUGGCUAAAAACUAUAAAGAUAAAAUUGCUAGAUAAGAAAGUGCAUUCUUCAUAUAUUGCCGCUGCUGGUCCUAAUGAAUUCCUGCCACUCAGCAUGAUCUCGAUUACCUCCAGACAGUCCGCUUCGAUAUAGAUUUUGUUGCAACCAACUUCAUUCGCUAGUAGGAGGCCAUCUCGUAGUCCUCUAGCCUCUGCCGUCACUGCGUCUUCCACAAAGGGUAUAUCACUGCAGGAAGCAGUGACAAAGAAACCGGCCUCAUCACGCAGCACUGCUCCCGUACCCCCUGUACCAGUGUCCCGGUCAAAAGCUGCAUCGACAUUAAGUUUGAUGAUGCCCUCAGGUGGCUUGGACCAGCCAUGUCUUUUAAUUUUAGUUUGCUUCAACCUUGCUCGUGAAAAGUUCUGCACUAAAGUUGAUAUAGCUUGGGCCGACCUUGCUGACUCAUAGAUGUUCUCACCGUGUGUGUAUUUGCGUCGUUCCCACCAUACAUACCAGAUUGUUGUGGCCACUAGAUCAUUGCGCUGGACAUUGGCCACUAGUGGACAUCUGGUACUUUUGGAUAAUAGGAGAUCGGCCAGCGCCGAACCUCCAUCUCUCUCUAUUGUGCAGAUUUCAUUCACUAGCUCCUGUAGUCCAAGAAUAUGCCAAAUUUCCUGCACCCUCGGGCACAGAAACAUAGCAUGCCUAAUGCUUUCACAGUCCGAACUACAAAGGGGAGACUGGGAACUUGUAGUCAUAUGUCUGUUCGCUAAAACACCACGGCAAGGAAUAGCUCCAAGCAAAGUCCUCCAAACAUGGAUUUUGAUUUUUGAUGGCACACGCAAUUUCCAAAUGGUACGCUAGACUGGACUAGUACUUGAGGCUUGUAAUGAGUUUGUCGUCCUCAACUUCCGUCCAUGCUGGUGCUCCCACUCUUCAUGGUAAGCCGAUCUUACUGAGAAAAUUCCACUUCUAUUGAAGUGCCAUGAUACAAAAUCUUCCAUCAUUCCCAAAGCUAGAGGAAUAUUCAUAAUACGUUGCACAUCAAUUGGCCAAAAAUGAUCGUUUAGCAAUUGUUCAUCCCACACUCUGUUUUCCGAAUCAAUGAGUUCAGAAACUCUUGUGAUCACUAUAUUUCCCCUUGGUAUAAAAACUUUGCGGGUCGGGCUGCUGGGAAUCCAAGGGUCCUCCCAGAUAUUAAUAUGUGAUCCAUCUCCUACUCUCCAAAUGUGUCCUCUCUUAAAGGACUAAAUUCCACUCCAGAGACUCUGCCAGGUAUAUGAACUACCCUUCUUCAACGUACAGUUCAGAAGGUCACCAUUGGGGAAAUACUUUGCUUUCGAUACUCUGGCACAUAAUGAUUCCGGUUCACACAAAAGCCUCCAACACUGUUUUGCCAAAAGAGCCAAAUUAAAGCAAUGCAAGUCCCGGAAGCCCAUACCACCCUUCUCCUUCGGGACGCACAUCUUCCACCAGGCAAACCAAUGCAUAUGUUUUUUCAAAUCCUCAUAUCCCCACCAAUAUUUCGACAUGGCGGUGGUUAUACUGUUGCACACUUGUUUUGGAAGUUUGAAAACUGACAUUGCGUAUGAGGGAAUAGCUUGUACUACAGCCUUUAGUAAGACCUCUCUCCCACCAACAGAUAGUAGUUUCUCCUUCCAUCCUCUAAUUCUGCUUAAAACUCUAUCUAUGAGAUGUUGAAAGCAAUCUGAUCUGUCCACUCCCACAAUUGGGGGCAACCCCAAAUAUUUAUCCGUGAGCGCUUCUGCCAUUAUAUUAAGUGAGGUGCACACUUCCACUCUUGUAUCAACAGGAGUGCAUGGACUGAAAAAAAUACUGGAUUUGACCUCACGCACCAUAUGGCCAGAAGUAGCGCAGUAAUCGUCAAGCGCCCUUCGGAGGCUGGUUGCAUUGGUGGCAUCGGCUCGCAUGAGGAUUAGCGAGUCAUCCACAAAAAGAAGGUGAGAGACCGAGGGGGCAUCACGACACACUUUGACUCCCAAUAAAUUUCCAACCUCCUCCUCGUGCAUAAUUAGACUUGAUAAACCCUCAGCACAUAGCAAGAAUAAGUACAGUGAAAGAGGAUCGCCCUGCCUUAGGCCCCUGGAAGGAACAAAAAAGCCAGUUAACUCGUUAUUCACCCGUACCCGGUAUUUUACCGAUUUAACACACUCCAUGAUGAGGGCCACCCAAUGUUCCAUAAAUCCCAAUUGUAAUAGAAUCGCUGAAGGAAAUAUGCCCUAGAGGCAAUAAUAAAGUAUUAUUUAUUUCCUUGUAUCAUGAUAAAUGUUUAUUAUUCAUGCUAGAAUUGUAUUAACCGGAAACAUAAUACAUGUGUGAAUAUAUAGACAAACAGAGUGUCACUAGUAUGCCUCUACUUGACUAGCUCGUUAAUCAAAGAUGGUUAUGUUUCCUAACCAUAGACAUAAGUUGUUAUUUGAUUAACGAGAUCACCUCAUUAGGAGAAUGACGUGAUUGACUUGACCCAUUCCGUUAGCUUAGCACUCGAUCGUUUAGUAUGUUGCUAUUGCUUUCUUCAUGACUUAUACAUGUUCCUAUGACUAUGAGAUUAUGCAACUCCCGUUUACCGGAGGAACACUUUGUGUGCUACCAAACGUCACAACGUAAAUGGGUGAUUAUAAAGGUGCUCUACAGGUGUCUCCAAAGGUACUUGUUGGGUUGGCGUAUUUCGAGAUUAGGAUUUGUCACUCCAAUUGUCGGAGAGGUAUCUCUGGGCCCACUCGGUAAUGCACAUCACUAUAAGCCUUGCAAGCAUGUGACUAAUGAGUUAGUUGCGGGAUGAUGUGUUACGGAACGAGUAAAGAGACUUGCCGGUAACGAGAUUGAACUAGGUAUCGAGAUACCGACGAUCAAAUCUCGGGCAAGUAACAUACCGGUGACAAAGGGAACAACGUACGUUGUUAUGCGGUCUGACCGAUAAAGAUCUUCGUAGAAUAUGUGGGAGCCAAUAUGGGCAUCCAGGUCCCGCUAUUGGUUAUUGACCGGAGUCGUGUCUCGGUCAUGUCUACAUAGUUCUCGAACCCGUAGGGUCCGCACGCUUAACGUUACGAUGACAGAUUUAUUGAGUUUUGAUGUACCGAAGGAGUUCGGGGUCCCGGAUGAGGUCGGGGACAUGACUAGGAGUCUCGAAAUGGUCGAGACGUAAAGAUCGAUAUAUUGGACGACUAUAUUCGGACUUCGGAAAGGUUCCGAGUGAUUCGGGUAUUUUUCGGAGUACCGGAGAGUUACGGGAAUACGUAUUGGGCCUUAUUGGGCCAUACGGGAAAGAAGGAAAAGGGCCUCAAGGGUGGCCGCACCCCUCCCCUUGGUCUGGUCCGAAUUGGACUAGGGAAGGGGGGUGCUCCCUUCCUUACUUCUCUUUUUCCCUUCCUCUUUUCCUAUUCCAUAUGGGAGGUGGAAUCCUACUAAGACUAGGGAGUCCUAGUAGGACUCCACACUUGGUGCGCCCCCUCCUAGGGCCGGCCUCCUCCUCCCUUACUCCUUUAUAUACGGGGGCAGGGGCACCCCAGAGACACAACAAUUGAUCCUUGAGAUCUCUUAGCCGUGUGCGGUGCCCCCCUCCACCAUAUUACACCUCGAUAAUACCGUUGCGGAGCUUAGGCGAAGCCCUGCGUCGGUGGAACAUCACCAUCGUUACCACGCCGUUGUGCUGACGAAACUCUCCCUCAACACUCGACUGGAUCGGAGUUCGAGGGACAUCAUCAAGCUGAACGUGUGUAGAACUCGGAGGUGUCGUACGUUCGGUACUUGAUCGGUCGGAUCGUGAAGACGUACGACUACAUCAACCGCGUUAUGAUAACGCUUCCGCUGUCGGUCUACGAGGGUACGUGGACAACACUCUCCCCUCUCGUUGCUAUGCAUCACCAUGAUCUGGCGUGUGCGUAGGAAUUUUUUUGAAAUUACUACGUUCCCCAACAGUGGCAUCCGAGCCUGGUUUUAUGCGUUGAUGCUAUGCACGAGUAGAACACAAGUGAGUUGUGGGCGAUAUAAGUCAUACUGCUUACCAGCGUGUCAUACUUUGGUUCAGCGGUAUUGUGAGAUGAAGCGGCCCGGACCGACAUUACGCGUACGCUUAUGCGAGACUGGUUUCACCGUUCGGAGCACUCGUUGCUUAAAGGUGACUGGCGGGUGUCUGUCUCUCUCACUUUAGUUGAACCGAGUGUGGCUACGCCCGGUCCUUGCGAAGGUUAAAACAACACCAACUUGACAAACUAUCGUUGUGGUUUUGAUGCGUAGGUAAGAACGGUUCUUGCUAAGCCCGUAGCAGCCACGUAAAACAUGCAACAACAAAGUAGAGGACUUCUAACUUGUUUUUGCAGGGCACGUUGUGAUGUGAUAUGGUCAAGACAUGAUGUGAUAUAAUGUGUUGUAUGAGAUGAUCAUGUUUUGUAACCGAUUUAUCGGCAACUGGCAGGAGCCAUAUGGUUGUCGCUUUAUUGUAUGAGAUGCAAUCACCAUGUAAUAGUUUUACUUUAUCACUAAGCGGUAGCGAUAGUCGUAAAAGCAAUAAGUUGGCGAGACGACAACGAUACUACGAUGGAGAUCAAGGUGUCGAGCCGGUGACGAUGGUGAUCAUGACGGUGCUUCGGAGAUGGAGAUCACGAGCACGGUGCUUCGGAGAUGGAGAUCACAAGCACAAGAUGAUGAUGGCCAUAUCAUAUCACUUAUAUUGAUUGCAUGUGAUGUUAAUCCUUUAUGCAUCUUAUCUUGCUUUGAUUGACGGUAGCAUUAUAAGAUGAUCUCUCACUAAAAUUUCAAGAUAAAAGUGUUCUCCCUGAGUAUGCACUGUUGCAAAAGUUCUUCGUGCUGAGACACCACGUGUUAAUCGGGUGUGAUAGGCUCUACGUUCAAAUACAACGGGUGCAAAACAGUUGCACACGCGGAAUACUCAGGUUAAACUUGACGAGCCUAGCAUAUACAGAUAUGGCCUCGGAACACAGAGACCGAAAGGUCGAGCGUGAAUCAUAUAGUAGAUAUGAUCAACAUAGUGAUGUUCACCAUUGAAACUACUCCAUCUCACGUGUUAAUCGUACAUGGUUUAGUUGCUUUGGAUCACGUAAUCACUUAGAUGAUUAGAGGGAUGUCUAUCUAAGUGGGAGUUCUUAAGUAAUAUGAUUAAUUGAACUUAAAUUUAUCAUGAACUUAGUCCUGAUAGUAUUUUGCAAAUUAUGUUGUAGAUCAAUAGCUCGCGUUGUUGCUUCCCUGUGUUUAUUUUUGAUAUGUUCCUAGAGAAAAAUUAUGUUGAAAGAUGUUAGUAGCAAAGAUGCGGAUUGGAUCCGUGAUCUGAGGAUUAUACUCAUUGCUGCACAGAAAAAAUUAUGUCCUUGAUGCACCGCUAGGUGACAGACCUAUUGCAGGAGCAGAUGCAGACGUUAUGAAUGUUUGGCUAGCACAAUAUGAUGACUACUUGAUAGUUUAGUGCACCAUUCUUAACGGCUUAGAAUCGGGACUUGAAAGACGUUUUGAACGUCAUGGACCAUAUAAGAUGUUCCAGGAGUUGAAGUUAAUAUUUCAAGCAAAUACCCGAGUUGAGAGAUAUGAAGUCUCCAACAAGUUCUAUAGCUAAAAGAUGGAGGAGAAUUGCUCAACUAGUGAGCAUGUGCUCAGAUUGUCUGGGUACUACAAUCGCUUGAAUCAAGUGGGAGUUAAUCUUCCAGAUAAAAUAGUGAUUGACAGAAUUCUCUAGUCACCAUCACCAAGUUAGUAGAACUUCGUGAUGAACUAUAGUAUGCAAGGGAUGACGAAAGUAAUUCCCGAGCUCUUCGUGAUGCUGAAAUCGACGAAGGUAGAAAUCAAGAAAAACAUCAAGUGUUGAUGGUUGACGAGACCACUUCAAGUGUUGAUGGUUGACAAGACCACUAGUUUCAAGAAAAGGGCAAAGGGAAGAAGGGGAACUUCAAAAGAACGGCAAGCAAGUUGCUACUCAAGUGAAGAAGCCCAAGUCUGUACCUAAGCCUGAGACUAAGUGCUUCUACUGCAAAGGGACUGGUCACUGGAAGCGGAACUACCCCAAGUAUUUGGUGGAUAAGAAAGAUGGCAAAGUGAACAAAGGUAUAUUGGAUAUACAUGUUAUUGAUGUGUACUUACUAGUGUUUAUAGCAACCCCUCAGUAUUUGAUACUGGUUCAGUUGCUAAAGAGUAGUAACUCGAAAACGGGAGUAGCAGAAUAAACAGAGACUAGUAAAAGAUGAGGUGACGAUGUGUGUUGGAAGUAGUUCCAAGAUUGAUAUGAUCAUCAUCGCACACUCCCUAUACUUUCGGGAUUAGUGUUGAAACUAAAUAAGUGUUAUUUGGUGUUUGCGUUGAGAAUGAAUAUGAUUUGAUCAUGUUUAUUGCAAUACGGUUAUUCAUUUAAGUUAGAGAACAAUUGUUGUUCUGUUUACAUGAAUAAAAAACCUUCUAUGGUCAUACACACCAACGAAAAUGGUUUGUUGGAUCUCGAUCGUAGUGAUACACAUAAUCAUAAUAUUGAAGCCAAAAGAUGCAAAGUUAAUAAUGAUAGUGCAACUUAUUUGUGGCACUAUCGUUUAGGUCAUAUUGGUGUAAAGCGCAUGAAGAAACUACAUACUGAUGGGAUUUUGGAAUCACUUGAUUAUGAAUCACUUGAUGCUUGCGAACUGUGCCUCAUGGGCAAGAUGACUAAAACGCUGUUCUCCGGAACUAUGGAGAGAGCAACAGAUUUGUUGGAAAUCACACGUACAGAUGUAUGUGGUCCGAUGAAUAUUGAGGCUCGUAGCAGGUAUCAUUAUUUUCUGACCUUCACAGAUGAUUUGAGCAGAUAUGGGUAUAUCUACUUAAUGAAACAUAAGUCUGAAACAUUUGAAAAGUUCAAAGAAUUUCAGAGUGAAGUUGAAAAUCAUCGUAACAAGAAAAUAAAAUUCCUACGAUCUGAUCGUGGAGGAGAAUAUUUGAGUUACGAGUUUGGACUACAUUUGAAACAAUGCGGAAUAGUUUCGCAACUCACGCCACCCGGAACACCACAGCAUAAUGGUGUGUCCGAACGUCAUAACCGUACUAUAUUGGAUAUAGUGCAAUCUAUGAUGUCUCUUACCAAUUUACCACUAUCGUUUUGGGGUUAUGCAUUAGAGACAGCUGCAUUCACGUUAAAUAGGGCACCAUCAAAAUCCGUUGAGACGACGCCUUAUGAACUGAGGUUUAGCAAGAAACCAAAGUUGUCGUUUCUUAAAAUUUUGAGGUUGCGAUGCUUAUGUGAAAAAGUUUCAUCCUGAUAAGCUCAAGCCCAAAUCGGAGAAAUGUGUCUUCAUAGGAUACCCAAAGGAGACAGUUGGGUACACCUUCUAUCACAGAUCCGAAUGCAAGACAUUCGUUGCUAAAAAUGGAUCCUUUCUAGAGAAGGAGUUUCUCUCGAAAGAAGUGAGUGGGAGGAAAGUAGAACUUGAUGAGGUAACUGUACCUGCUCCCUUAUUGGAAAGUAGUUCAUCACAGAAAUCUGUUCCUGUGACUCCUACACCAAUUAGUGAGGAAGUUAAUGAUGAUGAUCAUGUAACUUCAGAUCAAGUUACUACCAAACCUCGUAGGUAAACCAGAGUGAGAUCCACACCAGAGUGGUACGGUAAUCCUGUUCUGGAGGUCAUGUUAUUUGACCAUGACGAACCUACGAACUAUGAGGAAGCGAUGAUGAGCCCAGAUUCCGAGAAAUGGCUUGAGGCCAUGAAAUCUGAGAUGAGAUCCAUGAAUGAAGAACAAAGUAUGGACUUUGGUUGACUUGCCCAAUGAUCGGCGAGCCAUUGAGAUUAAAUGGAUCUUCAAGAGGAAGACAGACAGUGAUAGUAGUGUUACUGUCUACAAAGCUAGAAUUGUCGCAAAAAGGUUUUCGACAAGUUCAAGGUGUUGACUAUGAUGAGAGUUUCUCACUCGUAUCUAUGCUUAAAGUCUGUCCGAAUCAUGUUAGCAAUUGCCGCAUUUUAUGAAAUCUGGCAAAUGGAUAAACAAAACUGCAUUCCUUAAUGGAUUUAUUAUAGAAGAGUUGUAUAUGAUGCAACCAGAAGGUUUUGUCAAUCCUAAAGGUGCUCACAAAAUAUGCAAGCUCCAGCGAUCCAUCUAUGGACUGGUGCAAGCAUCUCGGAGUUGGAAUAUACACUUUGAUAAGUUGAUCAAAGGAUAUAGUUUUAUACAGACUUGCGGUGAAGCCUGUAUUUACAAGAAAGUGAGUGGGAGCACUACAGCAUUUCUGAUAAUUAUAUGUGAAUGACAUAUUGUUGAUCGAAAAUAAUGUAGAAUUAUUCUGCAAAGCAUAAAGGAGUGUUUGAAAGGAGUUUUUUAAAGAAAGACCUCGGUGAAGCUGCUUACAUAUUGAGCAUCAAGAUCUAUAGAGAUAGAUCAAGUCGCUUGAUAAGUUUUUUCAAUGAGUACAUACCUUAACAAGAUUUUGAAGUAGUUCAAAAUACAACAGUCAAAGAAAGAGUUCUUGCCUGUGUUACAAGGUAUGAAAUUGAGUAAGACUCAAAGCCCGACCACGGCAGAAGAUAGAACGAGAAUGAAAGUCAUUCCCUAUGCCUUGGCCAUAGGUUCUAUAAAGUAUGCCAUGCUGUGUACCAAAUCUAUUGUAUACCCUACACUGAUUUUGGCAAGGGAGUACAAUAGUGAUCUAGGAGUAGAUCACUGGACAGCGGUCAAAAUUAUCCUUAGUGGAAUAAGGAAAUGUUUCUCGAUUAUGGAAGUGACAAAACGUUCGUCGUAAAGGGUUACGUCGAUGCAAGUUUUGACACUAAUCUAGAUGACUCUAAAGUCUCGGUCUAGAUACAUAUUGAAAGUGGGAGCAAUUAGCUAGAGUAGCUCCGUGCAGAGCAUUGUAGACAUAGAGAUUUGCAAAAUACUUACGGAUCUGAAUGUGACAGACCCGUUGACUAAAAUUAUCUCACAAUCAAAACAUGAUCACACCUUAGUACUCUUUGGGUGUUAAUCACAUAGCGAUGUGAACUAGAUUAUUGACUCUAGUAAACCCUUUGAGUGUUAGUCACAUGGAGAUGUGAACUAUGGGUGUUAAUCACAUGGUGAUGUGAAUUAUUGAUGUUAAAUCACAUGGCGAUGUGAAUUAGAUUAUUGACUCUAGUGCAAGUGGGAGACUGAAGGAAAUAUGCCCUAGAGGCAAUAAUAAAGUAUUAUUUAUUUCCUUGUAUCAUGAUAAAUGUUUAUUAUUCAUGCUAGAAUUGUAUUAACCGGAAACAUAAUACAUGUGUGAAUAUAUAGACAAACAGAGUGUCACUAGUAUGCCUCUACUUGACUAGCUCGUUAAUCAAAGAUGGUUAUGUUUCCUAACCAUAGACAUAAGUUGUUAUUUGAUUAACGAGAUCACCUCAUUAGGAGAAUGACGUGAUUGACUUGACCCAUUCCGUUAGCUUAGCACUCGAUCGUUUAGUAUGUUGCUAUUGCUUUCUUCAUGACUUAUACAUGUUCCUAUGACUAUGAGAUUAUGCAACUCCCGUUUACCGGAGGAACACUUUGUGUGCUACCAAACGUCACAACGUAAAUGGGUGAUUAUAAAGGUGCUCUACAGGUGUCUCCAAAGGUACUUGUUGGGUUGGCGUAUUUCGAGAUUAGGAUUUGUCACUCCAAUUGUCGGAGAGGUAUCUCUGGGCCCACUCGGUAGUGCACAUCACUAUAAGCCUUGCAAGCAUUGUGACUAAUGAGUUAGUUGCGGGAUGAUGUGUUACGGAACGAGUAAAGAGACUUGCCGGUAACGAGAUUGAACUAGGUAUCGAGAUACCGACGAUCAAAUCUCGGGCAAGUAACAUACCGGUGACAAAGGGAACAACGUAUGUUGUUAUGCGGUCUGACCGAUAAAGAUCUUCGUAGAAUAUGUGGGAGCCAAUAUGGGCAUCCAGGUCCCGCUAUUGGUUAUUGACCGGAGUCGUGUCUCGGUCAUGUCUACAUAGUUCUCGAACCCGUAGGGUCCGCACGCUUAACGUUACGAUGACAGUUUUAUUGAGUUUUGAUGUACCGAAGGAGUUCGGAGUCCCGGAUGAGAUCGGGGACAUGACUAGGAGUCUCGAAAUGUCGAGACGUAAAGAUCGAUAUAUUGGACGACUAUAUUCGGACUUCGGAAAGGUUCCGAGUGAUUCGGGUAUUUUUCGGAGUACCGGAGAGUUACGGGAAUACGUAUUGGGCCUUAUUGAGCCAUACGGGAAAGAAGGAAAAGGGCCUCAAGGGUGGCCGCACCCCUCCCCUUGGUCUGGUCCGAAUUGGACUAGGGAAGGGGGGCGCUCCCUUCCUUACUUCUCUUUUUCCCUUCCUCUUUUCCUAUUCCAUAUGGGAGGUGGAAUCCUACUAGGACUAGGGAGUCCUAGUAGGACUCCACACUUGGUGCGCCCCCUCCUAGGGCCGGCCUCCUCCUCCCUUACUCCUUUAUAUACGGGGGCAGGGGGCACCCCAGAGACACAACAAUUGAUCCUUGAGAUCUCUUAGCCGUGUGCGGUGCCCCCCUCCACCAUAUUACACCUCGAUAAUACCGUUGCGGAGCUUAGGCGAAGCCCUGCGUCGGUGGAACAUCACCAUCGUCACCACGCCGUCGUGCUGACAAAACUCUCCCUCAACACUCGGCUGGAUCGGAGUUCGAGGGACGUCAUCGAGCUGAACGUGUGUAGAACUCGGAGGUGUCGUACAUUCGGUACUUGAUCGGUCGGAUCGUGAAGACGUACGACUACAUCAACCGCGUUAUGAUAACGCUUCCGCUGUCGGUCUACGAGGGUACGUGGACAACACUCUCCCCUCUCGUUGCUAUGCAUCACCAUGAUCUUGCGUGUGCGUAGGAAUUUUUUUGAAAUUACUACGUUCCCCAACAAUCGCCUCCAAGAAAGUCCACUCCACCCGGUCAUAUGCCUUGUGCAUAUCGAGUUUCACCGCACAAGUGCCAUAUUUACCGUUUGUUUUCCUCUUGAUCGCAUGAUAUGACUCAAAAGCUACCAGAAAGUUAUCAGUGAUAAGCCGUGCAGGGACGAAGGCACUUUGAUUGGGGGAGAUGAUCUCAGAAACAAAAACUUUAAGUCGGUUUGCAAGGAGUUUUGAAAUCACUUUAUAGACCACAUUACAUAGGCUAAUCGGACGGAAUUGGGUUAUAACUUCUGGGUUGUCUAUCUUCGGGAUGAGCACAAUAGUUGUGUUGUUCCACCCAUCAGGAAUCUUACGAGAAUUGACAGCAAGUAACACUUCAUCAAUCAAGUCCUCUUCAAUUAUGUGCCAAAACCUCUUGUAAAACACAGCAUGAAGGCCGUCAGGGCCAGGGGCCUUGAGGUCGCCGAUGUUGAACAUAGCAUUCUUAACUUCCUCUCGUGUGUAUGGUUUAUUCAGCUCCUGGUUCAUUGCAUCAGACACACGCUGCUGCAUGGGACCUUAUCUCCCCCCGGUCUUCAAUCCAUGUGCCAUUCUCUCUUUGUAAACGCUUGAUAAAGUUUCUCUUACGCCGACCAUUUGCUGCCCUAUGAAAGAAAUCAGAGUUUUUGUCACCACGGGUAAGCCAAUCAGCUCGUCCUCGCUGCAUCCAGUAGAGCUCCUCCUGCUCUAGUAGUUUCUCAAUUUGCAUGUGUAGUUCAUGUUGCCUUAUAACCGCGUCAUCAGUUAAAGGCCCAGAUAGCACUUCAUUCAGUUUCUUUUGGAGCUCCCGAAGCUUUGUACGAGGUCCUUUGAGUACCUUCUUGUCCCAACUAUGCAGCGCUUGAUGUACAUCAGCUGUGAGUUCAGCAAAGGGUGCUACCCCCAGAGCUUUGCGCGCCUCCCAGGAUGUCUGGACGAUAGUCUCGACGUCCUCCUCUGCUAACCAACGUGCCUCAAACCUGCACGGUCCAGGUGCACCUUGCGGCAGCAUGCCGAUCUGAAAAUUGGUAUUGAUCAGGACCGGCCUAUGGUCUGAUGUGUUAAACUCUUCAUUGGAUACUUCAAAACUAGGGAACAAAUCAGCCCACUGCAUGUUCUGAUUUGUUCCCUAGUUCUGGCGCGGUUAAUGAGUAGGAGUUAGUUUUUUAGGCCAAUGAAAACUGAACAAGUCAGCUGGCCCUGAAGUCCGUAUCAGGCAGCCCGUGAAUCUAGCAUUAUUGGUGGACAUGCACAUGCGACCCAUCCAUGCUAAUCAACUGCAUGCACCUGAUGCAAAAUUAAUAAGAGAAGCCAUCGGCAUGCAUGCAUGUAUCAGACCAUGCAACAUGUUCACGCGGACGAGACGUAGCCGGUUGAUGAGCAUGCAUGCGUGUAUCAGGCCAUGCAACGAGACGUAGAGGAGGCGAUACUAUUAAAAAAAAGUGACUGACCCCAAAUUAGAAGUCAGUCACCUGAUCAGUAGCCGGUCCCAAGAAAAUAUAAUCUACAUGUAACCAAGUCUUAGUCAAGUCACAAAACAUAUUUUUUUAAUUACACUGAUCUUCACUUAAGAAUCUCAUGAAUAAAGCGUCGACACGUCUCAAUGGACUGAGAAGUCGAAAUUUAGCAGUCUCGUUAUAUACAUAACCAAAAUUUGACUAAAAUAUGAGAGGAGACCGAAUAUAAAUUUAUAAUCGAACACCCAACCUAGAGCGAGCAAGCAUGUCUCUACAGCUCAACAGGUGUAAACGUGAAUACAUGACUCCCGUUUGAUCUGAGAAGCUGAACAAAAAUGACCACGACGGAACAAGUUUUUCUACUAUAAGCUGUAGAACGCGAACUGGUCAGCGCCGCGGUCGAUAUGCUUGGCGACGGCGUGGUAGCCCUCCUCCAAGUCCUCGCGCGUCACCACGCACCGGCGGUCGCGCACGGCCCGCAUGCCAGCCUCGCGGCACACGGCGUCGAUGUCCGCAGCGCUCAUCUCCUCGUGCCGGGCCACCAGGUCCUCCAGGUCGACGCCGCCGUCAAGGGGCAUCCCCGCCGUGCACGCCUGGAACAGCCGACGUUUCUGCGCCCUCCCCGGCAGCGGGAACUCCACCCUGCGGUCCAGGCGCCCCGGCCGCAGCAGCGCCGGGUCCAGCGCGUCGGCACGGUUUGUCGCCAUGAUCACCCGCACGUCGGGGCACUGGUCGAAGCCGUCCAUCUGCGCGAGCAGCUCCAGCAGCACCCUGUACACCUCGCGGUCGGCGGCUGAGGCGUCGUCGGAGUCGGUCCGGGCAGACGCGAUGGCGUCCACCUCGUCGAAGAAGAUGAUGGCCGGCGCGUUGUCGCGGGCGGCCUGGAACACCUCGCGCACCAUCCUGGGCCCCUCGCCCGGGUGCCUGUUCACGAACUCCGAGCCGCUCACGCGGAUGAAGGCCGCCGACGUGUGAUGCGCGACGGCUUUGGCCAGCAUGGUCUUGCCGGUGCCCGGCGGGCCGUGCAGGAGCACGCCCCGCGGCGCCUCCACGCCGGCGCGGGCGAACAGCUCCGGGUGCGUCAGCGGCAGCUCCACGGCCUCGAGGACCUCCCGCUUCUGCUCGUCGCACCCGACCACGUCCGCGUAGGUGACGCUCGGCCUCUCGGUGGCCUUGACGAGGGGCACGGUCCAGCCGGAGUCCGGCGGCAGGACUUGGACGACCGCGAGGUUCGACAUGGACAGCGCGACGUUGGCCGAUGGCUUGAGGAGCGCGCGGUCCACGUCGCCGAGGACGGGCACGCAGAAGGCGAAGGGCCUGGCGCUGGUGGUGACGACGGCGUGGCCCUCGUCGAUAACCUCGACUACGUGGCCGACGAUGAGGGCGCCGCUGCACUUGGUCUCAUGCUGGUACUCAUGCUCUGCCUCCAUGAGCCGGAACACGGGCAGCAGGUCCGCGAUCUCGACCCGCAGGUCCUCCUCCUCGCACUCAAGCAGGUCGAGCUCCUUCUCCAGGGCCAUGAACUGCCUGAACAGGUCCACGUUCUUGCCGACGUCGCCGGUGUCCAAACCGGUGCACAAAUCGUCCAUCAGUUCCCUGGGGAUCGGCAGCCGCGGAGGCAAGGGCAGUCCCGCCGAAUCGUCAUGGGCAACGCCGCCGGCGCAGAGAUGCUGUACGGCGAGGUCCGACAGUGGCGGGUGAAGCACUUUGGCUGACGCGGCCAUCGUAGGCGUACAAGUCCUCCUUGAUCUUUGCUAUACGGUGGAAUAUUAUAUACGAACACUAUGAACACCCUCCUGAUGAUACGGAACGAUUUAUAGACCGUGCGCGCGCGAGUCCGAAUUAGUCUUCAGCUCGGAAUCCAGUCCGAAGCGACCACGUACAGUUGGAUUCCUACUCCGACUGGGUAUCCUCUUUCGUUUCCUUGGGGGACAACUUACAAAUACGGCCAGGUCCUCGUCAAACCUUCGUACCAUCCGAGAGUCUCCAGACGUACCAGCGGGAAUUUGCCAGCAUGGGGAACUUCUACUCUUGCUGGGCAGAGCACUCGGCGGUAUGCAGGACGUCGUCGGUGUGCACAACGGAGGCCACCACCGGAGCGCACAAGUUCGUCGUCAAGAACUACUCGCUGCUUGUGGGAUCGGGCGCCGACGAGUACGUCAGCUCCAGCACCUUCAGCGUCGGGGGCUACGACUGGAACAUCUACUUCUACCCUGACGGUGACCGCCGGGCGCCUGACCACGUGGCGGCCUUCUUGCAUCUCCGCGGCGGCGCGGCGGCGGAGACGGGGGUCAAGGUGUGGUACCGCUUAAGCCUGCGGGAGAAAGGCGGCAAGGUGCACCCGGCUGGGCCGUUGCUGAUCCAAAAGUUUACAUCGGACGGUAAUAUUGGUUAUGGCAAUAUCCGGUUGGCUCACAAGUCCAAGCUACGAGGAGACCGCUUCACCAUCAAGUGUGAGUUGGUCGUCAUCAACAAGCCAACAGUGCAGGCGUUGUAGCAAUUUUCUUUCUGGCAAACGCUUCAUGUUGAUGCAGAGAUGCAGGUGUAAACACAGUUGUAGCCGACAGAACGAACGAUGAUUUUAUUCAUUGUAAACCCGGUUGUAAGCUGUAUGAACUACUGCAUGUAGCAGUUCAUGUGUGUUUAGCUCAAUGUUUUUCUAUUCUGAAAGUAAUAGACAGAUUGAGUUUCAUGCAUGACAGUUGUUUUAUUCCAAACUGCCUAUUUCCUUGAAAAACUUUAGAUCAAUUACUCACACUUCCUUCUCACAAUGCUUUUCUAGUAAUGCCUUCUGGAAAAGCGCCGACGUUAUACCUCCAUAGCUAGUGUGAGAAUGUUGAAGUCUGUAUUUUUUUUUCAGGAAAACUUUCAAUCUCCUCAUCUUCGAUCAGUACAAUGAACAUUCAAAAUAAUAAAAAUUACAUACAGAUCCGUAGACCAUCUAGCGACGGCUACAAUCACUGAAGCGAGCCAAGGUGCGCCGCCGUCAUCACCCCUCUCUCGCCAGAGUCAGGAAAACUUGUUGAAAUAGACAAUCAAGAAGUUGUCAUGCUAAGGUUCCAUAGGACCAAAGCGCACCAGAACAACAACCGCCAUUGAUGAAGAGACGUGUAGAUGGAAAGGAUCCGAUAUGACGACACACGAAUGUAGACAAAACGAAGACCGGAUCCGAGUAAAUCCACCAAAGACAACCACCGAUCGAAUCUUGCGAGAUCCGCUGGAGAUACAUUUCCACACGCCCGCCAACGAUGCUAGACGCACCAUCGAAACUAGUCUGGGCGGGGAGAACCUUAUUCCAUCUUCGGUGAGUCACCGUCGUUCCACCUUCCUGAGCAGCACACAAAGCCUAACAAAACUAAUAAAUAUAUCUAAAAUUGAAGCCCUCCCGCUAUUAAGGGCUGGGAUCCACCGCGCCCCAUGACCCUAGAGCCACCGGAGAUGAGGCGGACCGGCGGCGACGGCAGCAGGAGGCAGAGGAACCCUAACUUUUUGGAGAAAGAGGCGGUGGCUAUGCGUGUGUAAGUCUAUAUUACAAAGGACUGCAUGAAGUUCCUAACCUUUGUAAUGCAAACUUGGCCGCCGCUUGAUUAAUAAAUUCUCUUACUCUUUGUAAUAUAAACUUGGCCGCCGCUUGAUUAAUGAAUUGUCUUGCUCCUCACAAAAGAAAACGAAAAUACUAACGCCCACACGUGUGGCAGUUUUGCACUUCAUCCACACGCGCUAAUCACUGUUGAUUAGCGCGAAUCUUAUAGGAAUCAGCCGGCAUCUCCCGUGCCACGUAGGCAUAGUGAGGCAUGCGGGUGGUAGAGCGUUCCCCCGAACGUGUGGCACUUGACGCUUUCGCCCGGACGAGUUAUCCAUUCGCAGCUCCACCGCUUUUCCAACCCAUUCCCCUCCCCACCGCCUUCUCUCCUCGUCACUCUCGCCACUCCCCACCGCAAUCUCCAUCACCGCGCGGGACCUCGCCGACCGCCUCCGCUUCGCCGAGGUUGGUGGGGGAGGCCUGUUCCCGUUGCCGUUUCGAGAGACGACGGCGGCAGGGAGCAGAGGCUGCACCUCGAGGUCUCCAACCGCCUAGUUGGAGAGCUGGUUGGGCGCGCGCAGCGACAGGCCGGGAGUCAACACCUCGCCGUCCGCCUCCACAUCGCCGAGGUUGGAGGGGGAGGCUGGGGACCAGCUGGCCGUCGUUAACGACGGGCAUAUUCGUGGUGCCCUGGCCUGCUGCCCAUGGCAACCUCUCAUUUGCAGCUCCGCCGAUCUGCAUCACGCGCCGGAUCUGAUGGCCAUGGAACGACAGCUCGCGUGCCUCCGCCUCUGUCUCUAGGUACUCGCCGACCUCUGCUCAUCUUAUGCUCGCCCGCUCUGAAGCAACGCCACCCUCACCCCUCCAUCCUUGGAUUCUUACUCACCAAUCGGCAAUCCUGUUGUUGGUCGCUCGCAUCAUCGGCGUGAGGAGCGGGGAUCCUGGCUCGCCAGCGUUAGGCGCGGCAGCCUGUCGAUGGAGGCCUGCAACACGCCUGGCGCGAGCGUCGUGGUAGCGGGUCGGUGCUCCCGCCUGCGCGCUCGAUGCCUUUCAUGCUCCAACCAGCCCAAAGACACAGAUCUAGUGCAGCCCCACGGCAGCGUAUCAGCGGCGGGCUGCUAGGUGAGUGAGUUCCAUAACUCCAUCCGUCAUUUGUUUCCGGCGACUGGCAGAGGCGACGGUUCUGGCUCUGGGGAGAGCGUGGGUAGCGGACUGUUCGUGUUAGCCAAUCCCUGGGUGUGUGGUAGAGCAGUAGCAUGACAUUUUUCUGAUAAAUCACACUUUCUAGAUGUCUAGGUCCUCUCACACACAAACAUGGCAAAUUCUAUCAUAUGUGUGUGGCAACUUACAUCCACUGAGCCAUGGUUACCUUUUAUGUCAUUUUUGCCAUGUUUCAUCACAACUAUCCUUUUGAAAUUACUCCCACAACAUUAAAAUUGUAUGAAAAUGGCAACCAUGAUUAAGCUCAGAUGUUGUUCAUCAAUUUCCAUGGCUACAAUCGUUAAGCUCAGAUGAUGUCUAUCUCUACUGGUAUUUUUUGGCACUUUUAUUUGUACUGACAAUGGCAAAUUAUUUUCUCACCGACCAUGCGAAAUUCACAAAUGGCCAGACGGCAAUAUGACCAUGCCAAAUUCAUUUGUAGUUUUUUAGUGCCUCUUUUUUCAGUGAAAACUGAAAUGCUAUACAUUGUGCAAUAUGCUUUGACAUUGCAAUUUUAUUGGAUUUAGCACGGCAAAUUACCUUAUGGAACAUGGCAUUUUUAUUACAUUGACCAUGGUGAACUUUAUUAGCUUUUCUAAUUGCCGUGUGAGUAGUACUGACCAUGGCAAAUUUGAAUCGAUUACUUAAUUUCGUCUUCAAUUAGUACAAACUUCUUUUAGCUAUGUUUUCUGUUAUUGCAAUUGCAAGUAAGUUUUCCUGUUAGCUGUAAACUAUUCAUGGCAAUUCUUUUCUCAUGUUCUUGCCAUGCUUGUUUUUUCAAAGUUGUCGCGCUAUGUGUACAUAGCAUGCCAAUUUCUGCACUUGAUCACAUAGCAAGUUUAGAAAUUGUUCCUGUGACCCAUUUUUUCAAAGUUUGCCAUGGCAGAAAUGUCAUGUUUAUCUGCCAUGGCAAAUUUAGGUUUUUUUUAACAUGCCCACGACAAUCUUUUAUGCUUUUGUUUCUUACUUAACCACGGAAAAUUUAGUUUGUUGAUAAUGGUAAAUUUAGUUCAUUGACAUGGCAAAUUUAGUUUAUUGAUCACGGCAUGUCAAAUUUAGUUUAUUUGGUCCAUGGUCAAUUUAGUUUACUAGUCAUGGCAAUUUUUGUUUUCAAAUCAUGGCAAAUUUUAAUUUAUGUGAUUUUUGCCAUGGCAAGUUUUGAAACGAAUCUGCCAUGGCACUUUUUCUUGUUCAUACUUGAUUUUCAACUUUUUUUCACACACGACAAAUUCAUCAUUCAAACACACGGCAAUUCUUGAUACGAAUUUGCCAUUGCAUGUUUUGGUACGAAUCUGACGUGGCAAAUUUAGUUUACGAAUUUCUUCUUCAUAUUUUUUUGAUUUUCAACUUUUUGUGUUUUUUACACAAACGGCAAAUUCAUCAUACCAAAACAUGGCAAUUCUUGAUACAAAUCUGCCAUGCCAAGUUUUGAUGCAAUUUUGGUUUAUUGAUCAUGGCAAAUUUUAGUUCAUUGGUUCAUGGCAAAUUUGUUUACAAAUCAUGGCAAAUUCAGUUUAUUGAUCAUGGCAAAUUUAGUUUUCAAAUCAUGGCAAUCUAGUUUACAUAUGAAUCUGCCAUGGCAAUUUCCAAUAUGAAUCUGCCAUGGCAAUUUUUCUUGUUCGUGACAAAUUUAGUGAAUUUCGCCGUGGCAAGUUUUGAUACGAAUCUGCCACGACAUUUUUUUCUUGUUCAUACUUGAUUUUCAAUUUUUUUGUGCUUUUUUCACACACGGCAAAUUCAUCAUUCAAACACAUGACAAUUCUUGAUACGAAUUUUGCCAUGGCAAGUUUUUGUACGAAUCUGCCGUGGCAAUUUUCUUGUUCAUUUUUUUGAUUUUCAACUUUUUUUUGUUUUUUACACACACGGCAAAUUCAUCAUACAUGAACACAACAAUUUCUUGAUACAAAUCUGCCAUGCCAAGUUUUGAUACAAAUUUGGUUUAUUGAUCAUGGCAAAUUUUAGUUCGUUGGUUCAUGGCAAAUUUAGUUUAUUGAUCAUGGCAAAUUUAGUUUUCAAAUCAUGGCAAUUUAGUUUACAUGAUUUUUUUUGGCGUGGCAAGUUUCAAUAUGAAUCUGCCAUGCCAAUUUUCUUGUUCAUGGCCAAUUUAGCUUACGUGAAUUUCUCGUGGCGAGUUUUGAUAUGAAUCUGUCAUGGCAUUUUUCUUGUUCAUACUUGAUUUUCAAAUUUUUAUUUUUUUUCACACAUGGCAAAUUCAUCAUACAAACACACGGCAAUUCUUGAUACGAAUUUGCCAUGUCAAGUUUCUUGUUUCAUACUUGAAUCUCCAAUUUUUAUGUUUUUCACACAUGAUAAAUUCAUCUUACAAAACAUGGCAAUUCUUUGAUACCAAUCUGCCAUGGCAAAUCUCUUUUUGUUCAUACUUGAUUUUUUAACCUUUUGUGUUUUUUCUCACGCACGGCAAAAAAUCUCCUUGAAAACACUGCAAUUUUAAUUGCCAUUGUAUUUUUAUCUUUUUUUUGUCCUAUCAAUUUUUUGUGUUUUUUUCACAUGAAUUUUUCAACUAUUUGUGUUUUUUUUCACAUGGCAAUGUUGAUUUUUUGUCAUGGCAGAUUUGCCAUAUUUCAUUUGAGGGGAUUAAAUAUGUGUUUAUAUACCUUUUGCCAUUGUUAAAAACAAUACAAUGGCAAAUAGUUUGGUCAAACUUGAAUGGCAAUUUUUUUGCUUUUUUCAGUAGCUGAGCAAAAUCUGGGCUUUUUUUUGUCACAAAGAAAACCAAAAUCUGGGCCUUUUCAUUUAAUUCGUUGUCAGUGGGCCUUUUGUUCCUUUUUUUCACAUGGAAAAGGGCCUGGUGUGAUCGAGGCGUGUGGGGCUGUGGGUUCACCUUGACGAACGAAUUCGUGCAGGGAAUCAAUCCCCUCGUACUGAACGAGUCGUGUGGUAGGGUGCUCCUCCUGCCACACGUGUGGGCAGUUCUAAUAUCCGCCCACACAGGGCCGUGUGGGCUGCCUGCUGGAUAUGCCACACAGGGCCGUGUGGGCAGGUGUCCAUUGUACCACACGUGUGGCAGUUAUCGGCGUCUAAAGAAAAAGUCAAAAAAAUUGUAUGAUUACCUUUGAUUCAUAGGAUACAACUAGUUUGUUGUUUUCCGGAUUUGGGAGGCUCUUUUUCCUCAUCCCUUAUCUGUUCAAGUUGCAGCCGACAACCGUGGGUUCCUCCUCUGGCGGCGCCUUUAAAAUUUAAAGCUGAUAGGGUGUUAUGGCAUCUUCAAUGCUGACCCUCAAAUCCUUCGCGUCUUUUGUGAUAAUUCGGAUAUGUUUUGUCACUCAAUAUUAUUAGUUCGUGGACACGUUUGGACGUCCGAAUUCCAACAAAGUGAUAGCAAACCUGUGGGCUUUAGGGAGUCCGGACAUCCACCUAGCCAACCGAAGGCCACCAUGUAUACAUGCACUCCACCCCUCUCUCCUUAACCACGACAUGCACAUGUUCAAGAUUGGCAUCACACAACUUGCCCUUAUCUAUUCCGCACAAAACAUACAUGAGUAAUUACUCAUCUUGUCAAGAGAUACUUUAGCGAGUGCAGCUAUUUGGCUCCCGAGCUCAUCUGCUCCCGCAGUGAACAGUAAAUUCAGAAACAAUACUAGAAAAAUUAAAAAAAUCGAAAACUUUUUACAUGGAAGAUGCUCAAGGUGUGUGAGGUCUGCUCCAAAUUUCAGCUCUUUUUGACAUCUAAGUAGCUCUCGGCAAAAAGACAAAAUUGGGUUUGUGAAACAGUUUACUGUGCAUCUACUGUUCUGAUCCAAUUUGUCUUUUUUGCUGAGAGUUCCUCAUAUGUCAAAUGAUCUGAAAUUUGGAGCGGACCUAACGCACCAAAUCAUCUUCCAUGCAAAAAAAUAAUAUUUUUUUUGGAUUUUGUAAUUGUUUUUUUUUUCUCUUAACCGGUUGCAGAUGAGCAUGGGCUCAGAAAUGGAUAUUCACUCUACAAUUCUUAUCGCUACAAAGAUUAUACAAUCUGGGAUAGGUAAGCAAACAUCCCCGAUCCAGAGAUCUUACCAAAACCUGGUUCUCUCACCAUUGAAGAACUUUUUUUCCUACAAAACUUUAAAAGGACAUCUUUUACUUUCAUUAAUCCAAACCAGAAGUGGGAGUGCACAGGUUUCAAUUUACACCGAGAUAAAGUAACAUUACUAAGGUAUUUAAUCCUAAUUAAUUCCUACCAUAAACCCUCCUCGUUUUCGAGCUUCCACGGUAAUCUACCCCCUCUUUAAGGAAAUAUAAAAGCGUUUAGAUCACUAAAGUACUGAUCUAAACGCUCUUAUAUUUCUUUACGGAGGGAGUACUAAGUAGAUAAGUCUAACACCCCUGCUUUCUAGGUUGACAAAUCUCCUGCCAAUUAACUACCCCCUCCGUUCCUAAAUAUUUAUCUUUUUAGAGAUUUCAAAUGGACUACCACAUACGGAUGUAUAUAGACAUAUUUUAGAGUGUAGAUUCACUCAUUUUGCUCCGUAUGUAGUCACUUGUUGAAAUCUCUAGAAAGACAAAUAUUUAGGAACAGAGGGAGUAGAUGGUACUUCUUAAUAUUCUCAUCUUCCUGCCAAAUCAUUAUUUUCUCAUUCUCUUCCCAGGACCAAUGGGCAGAUCAUACAUAUAUAAAAUGUAUAAACGCACAUUACUAACACAAGAUCUACUCCCUCCGUCACAUAAUAUAAGACGUUUUUGUUUUUGCAAGCUAAAACAGCUUGCAGAAACAUCUUAUAUUGUGGGACGGAGGGACUAAGUAAUAAUAAUCUAUCGCCAGAACACAUCAGUUUCCCUUUCCCAGUUCCAGCUUUGUUCUCUACUUUUUCCUCUGAAUCUUUCCAAUCACUAUUUCUUAACUUUCUACACAAGUAAAUAUAGAUCUAUACUCCAAAACUCUAUCCUUAGCUUUACCCGACCAAAGGAGCAAUGAGACCAUAUUCUACAACUCUAUUAAUAAGUACCGAGAAGACAUCCACUACAGUGUUAAACAAUAUGGGGAACAGAGGGUCCCCUUGCCUCAAACCUUUUCUAGUGGGAAAAUAGGUAUGAAUAUUCUCACUGACCAUAAUAGCCACCUUACCAUCGUUAACAGUACUCAUAAGUCAUAACCCACUUUACAAAUUUAAUUGGGAACCCUUUCAUAACCAUCACCUUUUCUAAAAAUCCUAGUUAAUUUUGUCCUUUCUUAAAAUCAAGCUUGAAAUUAACAGCACUUCUUUUCUUAACUCUAAUCUCAUGAAUUAUCUCACGCAACAAUAGCACACCAUCUAAAAUAAACAUAUUUCUCACAAAAGCCGUCUGCGCAGGGGAUAUAAUCUUAUCAGCUACAACAACGGCUCUGCUUUGACCACAGUAAAAGUCGUAAAAAGAACAUUUAGCAAACAUAUAGGCCUAUAUCUUUGGAUCAUCAUUCCCUUUAGGCAACAAAGUAAUAAUGCCAUAGUUAAGUCUUCCUACAUCCAACUUUCCAUUAAAAAAAUCAUGAAACAGAGGCAUCAAAUCAUCACAACUCAAGUCCCAGAAAUGCUGGAAAAAGUCUGGGAAACCCAUCAGGACCUGGGGAUUUAUUAUGUUUCAUCUGGAAAACAUCAUGUUUUACUUCCUCAACUGUAAAAGGUUUGAUCAGCAACUGCUUAUCUAUAUCAUCAAGCACACAUUGUGAAGGAACAUCUAAAGAGACAUUAAUAACACUAGCCUCUGGACCAAAGAGCUCUCUAGGGUAUUUAAUGGCAUACUUAAGUAGUAUGUUAUCAUCCCCUACAAUCAAACCCUCCUCUUGUUGUAGAGAUAAUAAAAUCUUAUGUUUCUUCCGUUUUCUACCACUAGCUUUAGCCAUAAAAUAUUUAGUAAGAGAAUUUCCCUGGAGCAGGUCAGUGUCAUUUGACCUCUGAUACCACUUCACCAGCUCCUCCUUUCUAAUAUGUUGUUACUGCACAUCUAGAAUUUUUCUAGUCUUAUACUUGUCUACAGAUAAAGCAUAAUUUCACUCUCUUUGUCUAUAUCAUCGAUAGCAGUUUCCAAAAUUUUCUUCUGUUUUCUAUAAAAACUUUCAUAGUUAAUGUUCCAUUCUUUCAACUUUUUUGUCACUACUCUAGCUCUAUUCUGCCACUUAUCUAACUUAGUUGUAUCAAAAUGAAAUGCAUUCCAAACUUUGCUGGCCACCUCACUUAGAUGCUCUCUAAGAAACCAGCAUAACUCAAACUUAAAAGGCUUUACAAUUUUAGGGAUAUUUAAUGCCAAAUUAACAACUAAAGGCAAAUGAUCAGAGAUAGUUCAAGGCAAGAUUUUAGGAAACAUUUGCUCCUACCCAUUUACCAUUAUAAUCUUGUCCAAUUUGUUAAAUAAAGCAGAGCUAUGGUUAUUACACCAAGUAAAACAACCACCUGCAAUCUCCACCUCUUUACACUCACAAUGCUCAAUAAUAGUACUAAAAGAUUAGACCAUUUAUUUAAUCUCCUAGCCCGACUGCUAUCACUAAUUUUCCUAAUCAAAUUAAUGUCUCAUCCAACUAACAGAGGGAGCUCAUUACAAUAAAAAAUAUGCACUAGCUCAACCAAACAGGCUUCCUUGUCUCUUCCAUGAGCAGCCCCAUACACAGUAGCUAAAUUCCAUUUGUUAUUAGAGCUUUUCUCUCAAACUAUCAUUCUAGCAUGAAAAUCACCUGAUUCAGCUUCCAUUACUUCAAAGCAACCACUAUCCACUCCUAACAUAAUACCACCACUCAGUUCUACUGAUGGAACACAUACCCAGGAAAAAUUCUUUCUACCACUAAUAUUAUUUAACCAAUCAGCACCAUAACUAGUCUUCUUUGUUUCCUGCACACCUACAAAUAAAAUAUUAUGUUCUACAAUAGUUUCUUUAAGAAACUUUACUUUAUUAGCCUCCCCCAUACCUCUAGCUACAUUAAAACUAUUUUUCUUAGAGCCACUACAAAGCAAAUCUUUACUGCUCUUACCAGGACUAGCCUCAAAUAGAUUGCAUCUAGGUUCUUCUAGUUUCUUUAAAACUUCUACAGGUUGCUUAAUUUCCUUCUCAUUUCCACCGAAUUUAACACCCACAGUAGCAGCUAAACUUAAUACUUUUUCAUGUGCAGCAUUUAAAACUGUAGGAAAUAUUAAGGAAGUAGACUCACCAAUUGGAAAUUCCAAAUUCUUCACUUUAGCCCUGUCCAUUGCUUUCUCCAUUACAUGCUUAUUUGUGACAUUCCUGCUAGUCCUCCUCCUAUUCUCAUCCACUAUAUUAUCCUUUUCCUUGCUGACAUUUCUCAACACAGCUCCAGGCUCCACUUUUUUUGCUUGUAAGGACUGGUCUCUAUUUGAAUUUUCCUCCCCAAAAUCACCUCCAACCAGUUGCUAACCUAUAGCCUCCUGCUCCUCAUCAAGUCCUCUGUUUACCUCUGCAAUCACUUGUGUACUAAGCCCCAGUCCUCUUGCAAAGCUGUCAGGAUCAUCCUGCAUAUCCUGAGAGAGCCCCUGGUUAUUAGCACUAGAGACACUUCUUCCUCAGUAUCUGAGCAUUCCACACCAUCCAACAUUCUGGUAUCUUUUGCAGAUUGUUUAUUUAUUUCCUCGACUUCAGUUACCUGCUGCUGUCCCAGCAUAUUUUUUGUUUUGUAACAUUUUUUGUCCUCCUUUCUUCCACAGUGAAUACAAAACAGGACAGUUUUACACUCUUUCACUGCAUCUACGUGCCUGGGUUGAGCACAGCGAAAACAUCCAGCCUUCUGCCCCUCUUCAUUACCAGUACCCCCUGAUGCUUGUGGUUCAUACAUAACCUAUCACCUAACUAGUGCAUCCUUAGUUACUGCCUCAUUGUACUGACCACAGCUAGCAACAGAAAUCUAAAAUAUCACUAAUAAAUAUGUUGAAAUGGUUACAGUAGACACAAGGACGGCUAGAAAAAUGCACGGGUUUAGUAGAUUCAUAAAUGUUUAAACUAUCCAUGAAACAGGAAAGAAAAAAAAAUGUUAACAGAGGGAAUGAUACAUCGCCAUGUUGCUUUGAGGCUGCUGUCCAACAAGUUGUGCCACUCGGUCAGGGAUUGAUAAUACGAUUACAAUUUCACAUUAAAUGGUAAAUCGAUCCACUCAUUCAGAAUUUUUAACAAACAAUUAGAACUGACAACCGACUAAUAAUAAACUAAUUUGGGAGAACUUCCAAACACCUACCGCACCAAAUCACCGACAACAUGUUCAAUCAGUGUAAUACACAUACACAAACCAGACAAACAAGACAAUGUACCUUCCUACUCCAACCUUGAGGUGGAGAUAACCCUGGCGCCAUCUCUAUCAAGCUGCGCGAUGGUGGCGGUGGCUUUCAGCUUCCCCACUGAAAGGAAGGCGUCAACCAUCCUCCGGGCGACCUCCUCCCCCUUCUCCUCUCCCUCAAUGACAGCCACAGCGGUCGGGCCCGCUCCACUGAUGGUGGAUCCCAGCGCUCCGGCUUCCAGGGCAGCGGCCUUCACCGCGGCCAUGCCGGGAAUCAGCGGGGCCCUGGUGGGCUCGACGAUGAAGUCAGACGACAUUGCCGAACCGAUGAGGGCGGCGUCACCCUGCAGGACGGCAGCGACGAGCGCAGCAGCCUGGCUGGAAUUGCGGGUGUGGUGGCUGAGGGCGACGUUCUUGGGCAGGGCGGCGCGCAUCUUGCUGGUGGGCGCCUCGAACUCAGGGGUGACGAGGACGAAGCAGAGGCGGAGUGCGGGAGGGCAGGGGAGCUGGACGAGGCGGAAAGGCUCAUAGCUCCGCACGAGGACGAAGCCCCCGAGGAUGGCCGGGGAGAUAUUGUCGGCGUGGAAGCCGCUGACGGCCUUCUCGGACUCGAGCCCCGCGAGCACGAGGCCGUCGCGGGGGAGCAGCGAGCCGAAGAGCGCGUCCACGGCCUUGGCGGCGGCGGCUGCGGAGGCGGCCGAGGAGCCAAGCCCCGAGCCGAGCGGCAGGCCCUUGGCGAGGCUGAGCGAGACGCCGUGCGAGCGGACGCCGAGGGCGCGGAGCGCGGCGACGGCGGCGAUGCCCGCGCAGUUGCGGAGAGGGUCGCGGGAGAGGCGUUCGGCCAGGCGCGGGUGGGACGGGGAGGUGAUGCCCGAGAUGGCGACCGUGCCGGCGGGCAGCGUGGGGUCGAGCGUGGCGGUCACGGUGUCGCCGAGGGAGAGCGAGGCGUCGGCGACGGCGCAGCCCAGGAAAUCGAAGCCCGGGCCCAGGUUUGCCACCGUGGCCGGAGCGAACGCCGUGACGGACCUGAAGGCCGGGGGCGGGUCGGCCGAUGCCGCCGCGGCGGAGACUCUGAGCUUCCUCGAGGCGCGAAAGGAGAGCAGCGGUGCCUUGCGGGUGGAGGGGAAGGAGGACGGCGCGGUGGCCGGAGACGCCGCCGCCGCCAUUGCGGGGGGUGGCCGGUGCGCGCGUGGGAGGGUGGGGUUUGGGGAAAAGAUUUGGGCUUGGGCUUUGCCUUUGGGAACAACCAGAAGUCUGAAGAGUUACUGGCAGCCGCGGCCCGCCACCACCGCGGCUCCAAGAACAAUCUCCACCACGCACCGGCGAUGGCGAUGGCCGCCCUGCUCGUCGUCCUCCUCCUCCUGGCCGGGGGCUCCGCGGCCGCGUCGCCGCCGCCGCCGCCGUGCAGCCGGUCGUGCGCGACGCUCAACUGCGACUGUAAGCCUCCUCUUCCUCCCCUGAUCCGGUCAAUCGAGCGUGACGAUUUCUUUCUGAUCUGAGCAUGCUCUGACCAUGGCUGGGAUGGGAUGGGUGGCAGCGGUGGGGAUCCGGUACGGAAAGUUCUGCGGCGUGGGGUGGAGCGGGUGCGAGGGCGAGGAGCCCUGCGACGACCUCGACGCCUGCUGCCGCGACCACGACCACUGCGUCGACAAGAAAGGUACAUCAUCCCCUUUCUAGCUUCAGAAAGAAACAAUGGCGUCUGGAUUGGUCAGCCCAGCCCGCCAUGAACAACCAUACGCUGCAAUGUAUUGUUUGGGCAUGUGAAUUCGAAUGGUACUGACAAUUGAUAAGAUGAGCAUUGGCUAGACAGUUUCAGAAUUCAGACUUUCAGUUGCUGUUUGCUCUGCCCUGCUCUGUCAUUUAGUAUUGGCAAUGCAGCGGCAAUUUGGUUCACAAUUGCCUCUAUGAACUGAUGUUUUCGCUCAUCUGUCGCUCAGUGAUAAAUUGUGUGUGGUUAAUUUACUAGAUAAACUACACAGCUUUGUAGUAUGCACACCAGAAUGCAUCGGGGCAACCGGACAACUUACAUGUCUGGUUAACCGUUUCCUGUCAGUAUACAGCUAUGCUCUGCACCAAUUCCCUUGUAAAUUCCACAUGUUAUGUACAGUAAGUCGUGCAGCCGCAUGGAUUGGGCGAUAUGUGUUGGCGGUUUGGGUUCAAGGGGGGUGUUCAACAUUGCAUCAGGUUGACAUGGUUCACAGUUUUUUACCUCCAAACGACAGAUGACAGGCGGUUUGGAUUCAAAGGGGUGUUCAACAUUGCAUCAGGUUGACAUGGGUCACAGUUUUUUACCUCCAAACGACAUAUGGCACCCGCCAGAUCGAUUAAUGACAUCUCCACAAUCCUAUAGUUAUACUGCAUUGGGACAAGUCACAGUUUUUGGUCAAUAAUUUUAUAUUAUAAUCCGUAUUUGUCAAUUGCGGCUGUGUCUUCACAGCUUUGUAGUUCCCUGUUAAAUUUCAUGUGUCAUUGAGUAUUGUACAGCUAAAGAGUCGCAUGGGUGUUUGUGUACAAGGGGGGCAAUUGUUGAACAAAUUGCAUCGAGGACUUCAUAUGGGUGGAACCUCUUUUUACCUUCAAAUGACAGAUGACACCCGCCAGAUCAAUCAGUGCAUUCCCCGCAUUCCUAUAAUUAUAUUGCUUUGUUUAUCUUACACCAUGAGUAACCAGUUUCGCUGGGACAUGUAUGCAUGCAUGAAACACAACGGAUAUAUGAUGCUUGUGAUGCGAAAGAAAGUUUGCGCUCGAGCUGUUUAUCUGAAGAUCUGUACUCUGAAUCCUCAAUCUCAUGGUUCUUUUUCUUUGCAUAAAUGUAAAUUGAUCAGGCCUGAUGAGUAUCAAAUGCCAUGAGAAGUUCAAAAACUGCAUGAGGAAAGUGAAGAAGGCUGGCAAGGUCGGCUUCUCCAAGAAAUGCCCGUAUGAAUUGGCUAUGGCGACGAUGACUCAGGGUAUGGACAUGGCGAUCAUGCUCAGCCAGUUGGGCAGCCAGAAGUUAGAACUGUAGCUUUGGCCUUGGAGAGGUACUUGGCGCAUUGCUUCGUUGAUUGAAUAUUGACUUCCUUUGAUGAUUAUACUGUAAUUUUACUUCAAUUGGUAAAAUCACAUUGUUUUGGGCAGCCAUAGAGAUAAUUUUAGGUUGUGGUGCUGCUUGCAGCAUAUAGUAUCAGAUCUUCUGCCUGGGCAUUUUUGUAAACAGAGUUGCAAUAUAAUUGAAUCGAAAUCUCAUCAUUCUCCAAUUUGAGAAUAUCUCUUUCUUCAU